Molecule: long non-coding RNA, 60639 nt
Filed under: Daucus carota (carrot)
Lineage: Eukaryota; Viridiplantae; Streptophyta; Magnoliopsida; Apiales; Apiaceae
Description: long non-coding RNA (DCAR_LNC000764)
Source: RNAcentral
GUGAAUACUAUUAAUCUAUGGCCGGCGUGUGUGUAAAAAAGACAAUGAAGUCUCAAACAGAGCUGCCGGAACAAGUCCUCCACGACGAGAUCCUCACGCGACUCCCCCUAAAAUCAGUGGUACGAUUUAAAUCCGUUUGUAAAUCCUGGUCAUCUCUCUUCACUGAGCCCAAAUUCGUAAAACAACACCUCACUCGCAGCGCCACUCAAAACCCUCACGAUUAUGAUCGUCUCGUAGCUAAUAAUGGCCGUGCUAUUGUCAUUAUCUCACGCUAUGAAGAAACAUAUCUACUCCCCCGCGACUUUAAUUGCAGUUACAAAUUGCUUGGUUCGGUUAAUGGUUUAAUUUGUCUUUAUUCUGCCAAGAAAUUUUUGUUGUGGAACCCAGCCAUUCUUCAAUUUAAAGUUAUCACCCUUCCAUCAAGUUUUAUGUCUAGUUUUAUAUAUAGAAUUGGUCUCGGUUUUGAUCAUGUCAGUAAUAAUUAUAAGGUUGUGGUGAUCAAGCAUAUCGGCGAACCGGCCUGUGUUUACUCCUCUAAUUCUGAUUCAUGGAAUGAUUUACCUAAAUAUGAGUUUAGGGAAUGGGACUGCUAUAGUCAAGAAUUGUCCGUACUGGACAUAUGUUUCACUUUCGCGGAAACAUGAUGGGACGUGGUUACGCAGAUGUGGUGGGAUAAAGUUUGAUGUCGGAAGUGAUCAAUUCAAGUUGUUGCCUCAGUUUGAUGCAGUGAUGGUGUUUCGCCCUUCAAGUGAUAAAUUUAGUAUAAAAUUUGUGAAUGUAAGGGACUGUCUUACAUUGAUGUUGUCUGAACGAUCUCAUAGCAGGAUGGUGGAAUUAUAUUCUCUAGACGAGGAGGGAUGCGGUGUUUGGAGUAAGAUGUACAGUGUACUGCUAUACCGGGCAGAUCUGUCACAAGGUUUUAAGAACAGUGAUGAGAUUGUAUUUAAGAAAAAUGGGAUGAUGUACUGCUAUGAUCAAAAAAGCAAUACAUCAAAGCGUAUUCUCUCUGCAGGUUGCGGUGACAUAAGCAGCUGCUUUACAUAUACGCCUAGUUUAGCUUUCCUUCAAGGAAUGCAAUCUGUUCAUUUACAAACCGAGACCCAAACUCGUGAACUUGGUUACAACUACACCACUCCUUGGAGGUUAAUCAGUUCAUUAAUUAAAGAACCAUUUACUGAUGGUCAUAUUGCAGAUUAGACGGUGUUUGAUUGAAUGUGUGGGUAGUAUUAUAAGAGGGCACAAGAUCAUGUAUAAUGCUUUGGUGGCUGCGCUCUGGAAUUUCGUUCUGUUUUCUUCAAUUUCUACUCAGGUUUUGUUAUCCUCUUCUCAUAAUUUCAAAUCUGGGAAGUCCAUGUAGCUUAUCAAUUUCUCCCAUGUUAAAUUUCUGUUUUGAUUCGCAAAUAUGUUCCGACAAAUCAGAUAUUUACAAUAUUCAUUGAAUUGUCUCUUCUUAAUAUUCUAGGCUUUGGCGCUAUUAGAUGCAUAAUUUCAUACUCCCUCCAUUCAAAUAUUGUGUAUUCCUUGCACUUUUCUUUAUAUAAUGUUCCUUCUCAAUUCCUUAUAUUUUUUUGAUAUAAUUAAUAUAAAAAUUUAUUCUAACCACUACUUUUUUCCAUUAAUACUUAAAUAUCAAUUACUUCUAUUAAUAUACGCCCUUUCCUUAUGUUUCUCCCACCCGCUUUAUACACUUUCAUGCACAAUCCAAACAUAACGCUUUACUCCUGAAUUUUGAAAAUGAAGUAAAGUAAAGAGUAAGCAAAGGACUUUCAUCCUAAUUUUGGAGUAAAAUUAUGUUAAAUUUAUAUUAAUCUCCUGAUACAUUGUUCUUAUUAUAAAUUCAAGAAUACAAAUAUAAAUGAAAGUUAAACUACUUAAUUUUUUUAUUUUUUUGAGAGAAAAUUACUUUAUUUUUUAAAACUCCAAGUAGGGAUUAAAUAAAAUGAAAAAAAGGUGAGCGGAGGUGAACACAAAAAAUCGUAUGACGUGGUUUUCGAACUCAAAGGUAUACAAAGGAUCCUCUAACGUGGCCCGAACCUUUAUUUUUUUCUCAAACCUCUGAGUUCAAAACAUGACUAGCUCUUCCAUUGGAUCGUCCUCGGAAUCAAAUUGGACUUGGUUUUGAUCUUUUAGACAAUGAUUACAAGGUUCUUAACUCGUCUUGUUCUGGAUGUGGUUCAAGGUAUGCUGAUAUUUUCUACUAUAUUUACUCCUGGAUUGAUAUAACUGUUUCUGGUUAUGAUGUCUUGCCUGACAAACUAGACACUCCAGCUACUUAUGUCAAGGAUUGUCCUUGUAGGACUUUUUCUAAAUACUCAGUGAAGUUUGAUGCUACACGUAAAUGAGUUCUAGUUGUUGCCUAAAUUAUGUACUAAAAUGUAAUAUGAAUAACUAUUUUACUCUAACAGAUUACUGAGAGAUAUGAUUUGAAUUAUAAGGUGUACAUAUAUUCUUUGGACGAGGAAUGUGGUGUUUGGGACAAGAUGUGCCGUGUUGGACCACGCGAUUUUUUGAGGCCAGAUUGGUAUUUGUCACAGGGUUUUAACUUUUUAAAUAUGGUGGUGAGUUUGUAUUUCAAGAGAGUGGACAAUUUUUUCUUUGAAUACUAAACACAUCUUCUCAAGCGUAUUAAUGGGACAUGAUUUGGUUUUUCAAACAUUUCCUUUAGCUAUACGCCUAGUUUGGUUUUCCCCGAUGGCAUGAAGGCUAAUUUGUAAAUUCUUCAUACACUAGUGCUACGUUUAUUGGAAAUAAUGGACAUAGAAUGGAAUGGAGAUUGAAAUUGAGUAAAUUGAAGUAAGCAAAGAAAGUUGUUAAGGGGAAUAGUAAAAUUAAUAUGUACUUUUGUGCAUUCAAGUAAUACAAAUUCUAUUCCACUUCCAUUCCUCCCCACCGAAAAGUGCAGAGGCAAGCAACUGCACAUGAAGAGAGAAAUUAUUGUUUUAGGUCAUUGUAUGAUAAUUUAGGCUGUUCAAGUGUUUACUAGUUCAGAGUGCUCAUACUCAGUUUUUUCUUUUGAUAUUUCGGAAUCAAGAAAGUAUUGAUAGAUUCUUCUAAACUUGUGUCAAGUAUUUAUAUGAUAGUAUAUCUGCAAACCUGAAGCUACAACCGAGUCCAAAUUUAUGCAUCUAUAUAUAUUCAUAAAAUAUUUUUAAUCUUUUGUGUGGGAGUUCAUUUCAGGUCUAAAGCUACAAUUGAAGUAUGCAUGUAAGUAUUCAUCGAAAAUAUCUGUAUACAAAUUACAUAGUUCCAGUCCUGAAGCUACUACGAAGUACCAAUAUGCAUGUAAGUAUUUGUCAAGAAUAAUUGUUCAUGAAUUACUCCCUCCGUUUUAAAAUAUAGGUCGCUUGACUUUUUGGCACACAUUUAUAAGUCUUUUGAUCGCUUAGUUAAAAUUAUUAUUUUUAGAAUUUUUCUUUCUUGAAUUAUACUAUUAAUCAUAUAUUUUUAUUCUGAAAAAGAAAAUUGUAAAAUGAUUUCAACUAUGCGGUCAAAUGACUUAGAAGUGUGUGCCAAAAAGUCGAACGACCUAUAUUUCAAAACAGAGGGAGUACAUGCAUUUGAUGAUAUCUAACUUGAACCACAGCUUAUCAGAACUAUAUGAUUCUGACAGUACCCUUUUAUUGCAGUUUCAAUCUACUCUGUAAGACUCAAAUCAUUGAUAUUUGCAACUGUGUUCACUCUGUUACAUCCGGUUCUUAAAUUAAAUACAUAUAUAAAAGGCUUGUCACUCAGUAAUGAUUGGUUCCUAUUAUUCCUCUUACACGCAUAUGAAUGUAGGAACUUGAUAUCAUUAUUUUUCCAUAUCUGUCAAUAGUCAUAAAAAUGCUGAAUAAUUUUAGCUACCCCUGUUGUCUGCGGAUGACAUACAAAAAAUGUGUUUACGGUACUAGUAAGAAACCCCUCGCACACUUGUGCUACUCUUUGUUGGCAUUAAUAGAUAUGGUAUGGAACGGAUAUAGAAUUAUGAAUCAACUGAACAUAUAUAAGAAAGAAUUGGAAUGUACUUUUGUAAAUUCAAAUAGUACAUAUUUUAUUCCAUUAUUUUCCAUUUUCAUUCCUUUAAACCAAAAAAUGCAUAUGCACCUGCUCUAAAACUCCUUAGUGAUUCCCAGUACUAGGUCAUCGCCCCAGAACUAAAGAUAGUUUUGAGGGCAUAGUCAUGUAAGACGGGUCUGGAGUAGGGGGGCACGGGACAACUGGUUUGUUUUUGUCAAACUGUGGUUUGAUGUAAAAGUACCUCAAGAUCUAGUUUGAAAAGCAAAGUAUAGGCUUCACUAGAUAAUGGGAAAGCAUUACAUUGAUCUGUAAGCUUCAAAUAUAAAUAAUUAGUUUCUCAUCCUUCUCUACCUUCUGUUUAUUUCAGUUUGUCCUACUUCUCUACCAAACAAGCCAAAUUCAACCUAAGAGCAUUGGUAAAUGUUUAGUGCUCUUUGAGCUACGACAGCUGGAUGAAUCUUUAUGAUCAGAAGGUUGUAUGGGUGAAGCUUAAAAAAGCCUGCUCAAAAUGGAAGAAUUGAGUAUAUAAUUUGACAGUACUGCUGCAAAUGCUUCCCUUUCAAAGGUAAUUGGAUUCUGCUCACAUACAUUGUUCAUCAAUGUGAUCCAUGUUACUCCUGUUCUCCCUGCUUCAAGGUGAUCUCUAGUCAUGUCCAAAUCUAACUUUUCGGAUAUGUAUGUAAUUGAAUGGGUAAGUUUGCUUUUAAUGUUAUGGUCCAUUGUAGAGAUUCAAGUAUACUCCUGCACAAAUGCCUCGAAUGAGGGUUGGACACUCAACCUGUUAUUACCAGUAAAAGAAAGUUUUCUCAAGACUGAGCUUUAAAUAAACAUUAUUGCCUUCUUUUUUCACAGAUUUUCACACAAAUUAUCAUAUUGAGUUUUAAAAAUAGUCACGCCUAAUGACAUUGCGUAUCCACCUUUAAGGUGUCUCAAUUGAUUUGUGUGCUAUGUGCGUGCCAGUACUUGUAUUCAUUCGGAAAUUAGGGGGUAUGUAUCUGUUACCACAAUCAAUAUAUAUUGAAACUUAGGCGAUUUGGGUCAUUACCAAAAAAACACUCACAAUGAAGGUGAAAAAAAAUAUUACGGCCGCUAGAGUAAACGGGGUAAGAAAGAUGCCGGCAGAACUGCCGGAGGAAUUAAUCCGUAACGAGAUACUUAUCCGCCUCCCAAUCAAAUAUGUGGCACGAUUCAAAUCUGUUUCUAAAUCUUGGCUAUCCCUCCUUUCUGAUCCUGAAUUUGUGAGAGAACAUUACACUCGCAGCGCCUCUGGAAACCCUAACGAGUACGACUGUCUCAUAGCUGAAAAACAAUUCAGGAUCGUCAUUCUCUCCCGAUACAACGAAACUUUGGUUCUUCCUACCGAUAAACACUAUCAAUUGGUUGGUUCUAUCAACGGCAUAGUUUGUCUCCGUCGCUGCCAAAAGUUGUCCUUGUGGAAUCCUGCGAUUCAUCAAUCGAAAGAGGUAACUAUUGCACCACACCAUUCUGGUGAAAUCAAUAGCAUCGGAUUCGGUUUUGAUCCAGUAAGUAAUGAUUACAAGGUUGUAGUCUCGAUUGAUUCAAGGUUUGCUAGUUUUUACUCUUCUAAAUUCGAUUCUUGGACUGAUUUAUUUGUUUCCCCUACUCUUCUUCCUAAAAGUAGAGACUGUGACUCAUUUGCCCCAACUACUAUUGUAAAAAAUUGCCCUUACUGGACAACAAUGGUCUAUAGACUCACAACACCGUUUAUAUAUUUUGCUUCACUGAAGUUUGAUGCUGGGAGUAAUGAGUUCAAGCUGUUGCCUAAUUUUUACUAUGGUAGAAGUGGUGCACGUGGAAAGGAUUUUAAAUUUGUGAAUAUGAAGGAUUGUCUUGCUUUGAUGGUGCAUGAACGUGAUUCUAUUGAUACACUCGUAGAGGUAUAUUCUUUGGACGAGGAGGGUUGUGGUGUUUGGAAUAAGAUGUACAAUCUGGGACCUUUCAAUAUUCAUGAGAGUGUACUUCUGUCACAGGGUUUUAAGUAUGGUGGUGAGAUUUUAUGUCAUGUGUAUGGCAAACUUCUCUGCUAUGAUCUCAAGACAGGCACUAUUAAACACAUUCAAGAUACAACUGGUAUUCGUGUAGUCUAUGGAUAUACCCCUAGUUUGCUUUCUCUGCCAGGAAUGGAGUCUGUUUAUCUACAAACCCAAACUCGUACACAUGGUCUCGGCUCUAGAACUCCUCGGCGAUUAAUCAAUUCAUUAAGAGGAUAAUCAGUUGCUAAUUCCAAUUGGCAUUCUAGACAUUUAAGUGUUGAUGAUAUGUUUAGUUGAAAAAUAUGGUGGGGAAAUGGCCAGUUUAAAUGUUUAGGGAUUAAUGGUUGAAAUUUGCAUCUAUUUUGCUCAUACUUUUUGCUGGUUUUCAUUGUUUUAUGUUCAAGGAGACAUGGAUGAAAUUGUUGUUUGUUAUAUUCUGUUUCUUUAUUUUUCAUUAUAUUCUAUAUGCUUGACUUUGUUGUAUUCAUUCUCCAAUAAAUUCUGGUUUUCUCAUUUUACAUUAUAUGUCACCUCUGUAGGUAUACUGGUCUUAAUCACACAAAAGACCUAAACUUUGUUCCCUUCUUAAUUCUUGGUGUCUUCAUAUUGGUCAAUUCUUUUGUAGGAGUAAAUCACUAUAUAAGUUUGUGGUGAAUAGAGAAAUGAAUGUAUUAUAAAUUUUUUAAAAGGUUUUGUCAGUGCUGGUAUCCUCAUUACAUGGUUCUUGUUGAUUAUUCCUUUCCUUGGCCUUUUUUGCAUAGUUACUUCUUUUAGUUACAUUUUGAGGAAUAUUUUCUUCUGCAUGACAGUUUAUUCAUUACUGGACUUGAGCAACCGUUGUGUACCAAUUUAUGCCUAUAGCUAUUCAUCAAAAAUGGAUGUGCUAGUUCAAAACUUUGGUUUUACAGUCAAUAAAAAUUUCUCACAUUUCCUGUAUUAUCAUUUAUAUCUAGCUUGAACCAAAUGCUUUAUGAUUCUGAAGUUAAACAUGUAUUACAGUUUCAAACUUCUUCACUUUGUUAUGUUAAUAUGUACUGUACUGGAUAUGACUCAAGUCGUCGAACUUCCAUGCUACUUUUUCUUCUUUACAUUCAGGUCCAGUUGGAUAAAAUUUAUAUAAGUAAAAUCAAUAUAGUCAGAGUGUAUUUGACCAGUUUCGGCAAUGGCUUAGUAUAUUAGAAUGUAGUCUGGUAGUAGAAUUGAAUGAGAUUUGAUGUUUUAAUCGCCAUUUUCAGUUGGUGCAAAGAUUAAUUCUUUUUUUAAACCAGAACGCUUUAUGCACAGACUAAGAUUGCAUAUGAUAAGUGAUCUCUGUGUGAACUUAAUUCAUCUAGUAAUAUACAGUAAUGUUGUAUUCAUCAAUUUCUCCGUUCAAUCAUAUGAGGUUUAAUGAACUCUAUACUUUGCCAUGUACAGAUGAAUUCACAUGCUUUCCCCCACUUUAUACUUAGCAGAUUUGAAUUAUAUUAAAAUUUAUGCUGUUCACGACUCCCACCUCUUGUUAUGUUUUCUAUCCUUCUAUAGAUGGCUCUUUUUCAUGUCUUUCAUCCUUUUCAUCCAUCUCCAGUUUUUACUUGUAAUUCAGUUUGGCACACCUCUAUUCCAACGUCAAAGGCAACUUAAAAGUGUUGUCGACUGCUGUCACAAAUUAGCUGUGCAGUUUCUAGUUGAAUAACCAGAUGGGCUACUGAAAAGGCUAGAAACAAUGAUGCACGAGACUGGAGAAAGGUGAAUCACAUUCUCCAUAUAAUAUAGAGAUCAUUCACUCCUCUCAAUCAUAUGUUUUACAGGAAGCAUUCAGAAUAUGGAUUUUACCCAUAUUUCACUUGCAUCUCUUCCAAAAUUCUGUCACCUGAUACCUCAUCAGUUCAUCACAUGUAUAUUCUAUUUUAAUGCACAUUCCUGAUUUCACCAAACUAAACAGAUGGGGAAAUUGAGGUUUAUUUGUCUGCUUCUUUUACAGAGAAGAAACUUAUUCUCUGGAACCCUGUUACCGAUCAAAAGAACAGGUAUCACAUAUUCGGUCAAGUAUUCAAGUCAGUUUAUGCAGCAUCCUCAUACAUCUCAUAUGGAUUCUGCCUAUCGUGCUUGUGGUUUACUACUUUCUUCUUCUAGUGAUCUACAGUUGCAAGGUUAAACUGACUUGGAUUGGGCAGGAUGCCCAACCACGCUAUAAACCAAUUACCAACCUACUCUCUCAAUUAUUAGCUCAGCUGAUACUGACUAUGGAGCGCUAGCCAACCUUCUGGAAUUCAAUGGCUCAGUUAUCUCAAGUGAUCUUGGUGUUACUUGUAAUUAUAUUACUAUAUGUAAGUGGAAUAGUAACUAAAUAACUAGGUAAUUUGUUCAUAGAAUAAAUUUCAAGUAACUGUAAUUAUAUUUGAUAGUUAUUAGGUCAUUUCUUUACUUGCAGGUUGAUAUUUAAAUUUAGCCUGCAUUUCAUGUUAGUUACAGGUUGGUAGUUAACUUUAGCCUGAAUUUUAUGUCAGAAGAGAAUGUGUAGACUGUAUUAUCUAGUCUGCAACUCUUUCAGUAUGCCGAGGAUCAUUAUAGGAUCAAGGAGAAUUAGUUGAGUGGUUGUUAUUACAGGAUGGGUGUGUACUGUGUAUGUAUGGUUAUUUGAUUAAUCACCAGUAACUACUGUUUUGAUUAAUAUGUCAUAUUGUUCAGUUUUCACUUUUCAGAGUAUGCACAGGUUUUCGUUUUUCAGUAUUCUUCCUUUCUAUCUUCAUUUUUUCACAAGUUCCCAUUCGAUUCUUCCAUGUGUGUUGCUUUCAGAUGCACUUUACACUAAUUUGUUGGCAGAUGUAUGUAAUAAUGUUUCUGUGUGUCCUAAUAAUCGUGUAAGAAGAUCUGUACAUCUCAUGUAGUACUUCUCAUCAACCAUAGUUUCCACCAAAAGUGAUUGUCUUAAAUAAUAUAAGAUGUUGGAUUCUUCGUAUAACAAUUAAAGGUUUUAGAUAGUUUGGUGUAAGAAGAUCAGUACAUCUCAUCACCCAUAGUUUCCGCCAAAAGAUAUUUUGUUAAAUAAUAUAAGAUGUUGGAUUUUUGGUAUAACAAUUUAAAGUUCAAGAUAGUUUGGUUACUUAUCAUGCCCAUUUAUUUACAUUAGUUAUCUGGUUUGUCUAGUACGAUUAGAGGAAAGUGUAAAUUGCUCUAGUAACGUUUUAGAUGGACUGAUUUCUUAGCAAUCUAAAGUUUUUUCCCCUAAUGCCAUAGAAUUUGGUUAAGCCUCACUCAUUUAAUGAAGGGACAAGAACACCCUUUCUCUAAUAGAAUUACAACACCUGAACCAUGGCAUAUUUAUCGAAAUUGAUUUUCUGUUUGUCUGUCGGCUCUGUCUACUGUCUGUUCUCGUAUGAUUAAAAGAGAGUGUUGCUCUAACACCUCUAAGUAGUUUUACAAUGUCAUAGAAGCUGGUUAAGCUUUUUAUAAAGGGACCGGAACACCCUUUGUCCAGUAGAAUUACAACACUCAAACCAAACUUCUACUAACAUAGCAAAAUCCUUGUUUCAAUCAUGCCAUGAUCUCGAAACAGAUCAAACAAGAGUGUUCCUAAUAGUAGCCAUUGUCUUACAUAUUCGCAUGAUAUCUCCUACAACAUUAGUAUGACUGACACAACUGUUGGUCUGUUUCAUCCAGCUUACUUGUAUCCAGAAUGGUUCAAAUCUUUGGCCAGUUCUGCGAUAUCAAGUCAAUAGUUCCGGUCUAAUGACGGGUUACUUUUAAUGUGUAGACCACUUUGAAAAAGCUUGCUUAAUUUUCUGAAACAUGUUGUUCAGGAACAGACCCGAGGAGAGCGAAGAAAUCUAGAAGAAAAUACUACAGUCGCAGGUCAAAAAAUUUCAUGCGAUUGAAACAAGUGGCACUGCAUUUACAUUGCCGUCAUGACUAUUGUGUGUGUGUCUCUGAACAAUUCUAACAGCAAUUAGCUUACGUUUUGUCCGGUCCCGUUGGUGGGGAAAUGAAUAGAAUAAAAUGGAAAGAAAUUACUUUUACUGUGCUCCUUCAUAUUUUGGAGUAAAUUUAUAGAUUUUUCAUGAGAGACUUGAUUUUUGAUUUUGACCCGUCUUCUUAUCCUCGGUUUCUAAAAAACGUUUUAUGUUUCGAAAUAAUUUUCAUUUUGACUUUUUAUAUAUAAUUUAAAAUAUAAAAAAACAUACUUUUAUAUAUUUAAAUAUUCUUUUAUUAAUAAAAAUAUUGAAAAAUGAUAUAUAAAAUUAUGUUAUCUUUUACCCCUCAAAAUAUAUGAAAAAUUAAAUGACUAGUAUUUUGAAAUAAUAAAAAUAAUUAGACCAUUAUUAUGAUGAAUAUAUGAUAUAAUGACUAGUAUCAUGAAUCCUUUCAUUGUAUAUAACUUGUAUCAAUUUUGUGACUCACUUGAAUAAAAAAUUGAGCAUUAAACACAAUUAUUACUUUUUUUGAAACGAGUACUUAUGCUGAAUUUAACUAUUUAAGCGAUACUGUAUAUGUGCAAGUGAAUCAUAUGAAGUAAUCCUAUUUCUUUGUCUCUGUAUGAAAAUACUUAAAUAUUUCUUGUCUCGUGUCAUCAAACUUGAAUAAUUGUGGCUCUACUACUCUAUAUAUUCACUGGGCCCAACACUGUUACAUUGACUCACGAAUUGUUCCAAACUAAAAUUGUAACUCGGUCGGCCCAAUUCUCUUUCCGGUAAUUAUUAGCCUUGGCAACUUGUCAAACAACAAACGAUUUUAUUUUCUUUUUCUGAAAUACAAACAACAAAAGGGUUUAGCCAAAACUAUAGAGUUCUACACUUUAUCAGACAACUUAGAACUUGUGGGUAGUGUACUUAAAGUAGGUAAUAAUUCAAUUGAUUUAUUAAUUUAUUUAAUUUUUGGGAAAUUUGGUUAAUUUUUUAGAUAGGUUAAAUUUACUCAGCCGGGAGUUGGAUUGAUCUUACAAAAAUCAACCUGACUCAUAAAUGUUUAAGAAAUUAGUGAAACAUGUGAAUAAAAGAUUAGAAAUUAAAAAGAUGAAAACUUGAAUAAGAAGAAGAAAAUGAUUCUAAUAUAUAUGAUUUUUAUUUUAAAAUGUCAAAUUGUGAACUAUUUCAACUUGUUCUUUCAAAAUUACAUCAUAUUCAUAAUUAUUAUUUCAAAUAAUCAUGCCAUGUUCUAAAUAUGUUACAUUAGUACAUUACUAAUAUAAUAUAUAAUAUUAAAUUAAUUCCGAGUAAGAAUCCAGUUACUUUCUAGUUAAAGUACUUAAUCUCUAAAUGACGUUGAUCUCGGUUACCAUUUUUCACAAAAAAAAUUCAAAAAGUUAAAAAUUAUAAUUUUGACAGAUCAAAAUUUUAAAAUAAUAUUUUUUUCCUCUAUUUAAAUAUCAAAUAUAGACUUUUCUCAACAAAAAAAUCAUAUCAAAUAUAGAAUGGACAAUUUGUUCAUCGUUAAUAAAUUUAAAUAAAAAAUUAUCGGCUCCGCUUUUGAGUAUAGGUUUUACCCAUAAGAAAGCAUAAGUUAAUUAAGAUGCCCUUUAUGACAACUAUAAUUUAAAAGUAUAAAUUGCAUUUUGACGUAUGUCAAUUAAAAAACGAGACCAGUAUAUAUAUUAGGGGUGUUAACGAAACGAAUUCGAAACGAAUAUUAUAGUUUUUGUAUUUGUAUUCGGUUUAAAUAUACAUAUUCGGAUUUGUAUUCGUUUAUUAUCCGAAUAGUUAUUUGUAUUCGUAUUCGUAUUCGGUUAAGUUCACGAACUAUUCAUAUUCGUUUAAGACACUCAUUUAAAAGAAAAUAAAAAAAAUAACUAAACUGCUGACACGUGACAAAAGUUAUAAACUCCCAUACUUCACCAAUUCAAGCAAACUAUAAAAAAGUCAUCCAACUCAAAUAAUAUAAAAUUCAAAUUACUGAUUGAACAAACCUGGAUAAACCAGAAGGUGUGACAUUUUGUUUCUGAUUUGUCGGUCUGUGCCUAUAACUAGAAGAGCUCCCCUUACCAGUACAUAAUCUUAUUAAAUAAAAAUAUAAUAUUUUUCUAUAUAAUAUAAAAUAUAUAUAUAUAUAUAUAUAUAUAAUUUAAUUUCCGAAUAAUUAAGCGAAUAGCGAAUACGAAUAUUUAUCUAUUCGAAUUUGUAUUCGUUAACAAACCGAAUAUUUUUUAAGAUUUGAAUUCGUAUUUGUAUUUGUUAACAAACGAAUACGAAUAAUGUUAAACGAAUUCGAAUACCGAAUAUUUCAUUAAAUAUUCGUUUCGUUAACAGCCCUAAUAUAUAUGUAAAAGUCUACACCAAGAGACGCAAAAUGCCAAGUAAUUGUUCUAAAUUUUUUAAUGAAGUCUAUGCUUUAACAUGCAUGUAGAAGUUGCAUCUCUAUAUUUAAAUAAAUUGGAGACAUUAAUUUAUAAAAUUUUAUCAAUAUUGUUAGCGAAAACUAGACUUAUGCUAGUUAAAUAAAAUCUUUAAAAGUUAGUAGAGUAGUUCAUACUCCCUCCGUCCCCCUCAAUUGUUUACAUUGGAGGGGGAACACUGAGACCAAGACAAUAUAUGAAAAAUGAGUAAAAUUAGAUCAAAAGUGGUUAAAAUGAUAGGACCUACCAAUAUUUAAUAACAGAUUUGAGAUAGUGGAGGAAAGUAGUGGAUGUAAUAGUAGUUUUUAUUGUUAAAUAUGAGAUAGUAAGAGAAAAUAGUGGGUGUAAUGAUGAGAAAAACUUACUAUUUAUAGUAACGUAAAGAAAUGAGAGGAACAGAAGGAGUAAUCAAUUCAUAAAGUUCCGGCCUCCAGGAUAUCAAACCGGGUCAACAAACACCAGGGUGUAUUAAAAUACUGUACAUUUUCAUUUAUAUUAUUUUGAAACGAAACUGGCCCACUUCAGAUUCAGUUGAGUCGUUAUUGAAAAGGUCAAAUACCCAGGCCUAGAUUGUUCCUUCUGGCGAAAAUCAUUCGAAAUAAAUAUAUACUCCCUCCGUCCCUCCCUCCCGUUUAUUAUCGUUUGGGUUGGGCACGGAAGUUAAGAAAUAUGUAUAAAGUAGUGGAAAGGAGAAGGAAAAGUGGGUGCAGUGGUGGGACCCAUUGAUUUUUAAUGUAUAAAAAGAAGAUAGUGGAGUAAAAGUAAUGUCAAAAGAAAAGAAAAGUGAAAAAGUGGUGGGACCCAUUGAUUAUUUUGGGUAAGUUUUGAAAUAUAAAGAAUUGGAUGGGACCCCAAAAAAGAAAGUGUAAAGAAAUAGAAGGGACGGAGGGAGUACUACUCUAUAACAUGCAUUUUGAUUGCAUACCAAGUUUAGUUUAAAAUCGCGAAUUCACUUAUAAACACCUCUAGUCAACAAAAUCAAACCUUAUACUCUUCCGAGUCAUCUUAUAAUAUUGACAGAACAUAAACAAAUUUAUUAUAAUCAACAAAAUUUUAUAUUCAGGAAUCACAGAUAAAUUUUGCGAUUAAAUUUCCAAAAUUCCGAAAUUAAUUUCGCCCUGAAACCUCCCGGAUCAGCACCGGGAUCUCGCCAGCACCCGAGGUAAAAUAAACUAAUAGCAUGAAAUUUUACGGUACAUGCAUGCAACAUAACACGAUGAAUAAAAAUUGAGAUCCAAAAACCAACGCAAAGCACUAAAUAAAUAAGGAAAUAGCACGAAAUUUACGUGUUUGAAGGAUUAAAAUCAUAAUUCGUCGUAAUAACACCUAGAGAGUCAAGAAAUUCAAACGGCCUUCGUAUUGUAUUGUAUUUUGUCAAGACAAACACCAAAUGCUUCUAGGGUCCGAUCUGAAUCCCGUUAGUAAAACCGUUGAAUUCAAUUCUUUCCUUGAAAUUCGUACUCUCAUUACGAAUCAAGUGCCUACAUUUUUUUUUAAGCUUAUAAAUAGAUGAGUGUAUCAUAAAACAAUCUACAUUUUAACUUCAGCGCACACAAAAUUAGAAACUGUUGUAGCCGUUUUUAGGCUGUGGGGGAGUAGAGGAGGGCGCGCCCUCCACGGCAUGAUCCCGGGAGGCGCGGCCUCCUGUCUUAAGUGUAGGUGUCGCGUGUCUGAAGUACAGGAAGAAAUAAGUAGUGAAGACCCAAGGCGCGCCCUCCGUGGUCGCGCCCACAGGUGAUGAAUAUGUGUGAGGUUGAGUGAGUCUCGACGACGACCCUUCCGAGGGAUACGAAGACCUACCCUUCCGAGGGAUAUGAAGACUAGUGCCAGAGCUCAUCUGGUAGUUAUCAGGCUCAUCUGGUAGUUCCCGGGUUACGUCCGGGCAUGAUCUAUAAUCCCCAGUCCUGCUAUCUGCCGGGUUGUCCUCGUGCGGGGGCCUGGGGUGAUCAUGGUUGUAGAAGGCCCUCAGGGGUAACACGAAGGCCGAUCAUAUGUCCGGGUCCUGUAUUCUGGUGAGUUAGUCCUCAUUGGGGGACUGGGACGAUCGUGUAACUUGGCUCCUCAAGUGUCUUACCUUUUAGUGAGAACCUUCACUAGGGGGUAAGGACGCGUCCCUACGCCUCGUAGAAGUGGUCACGGCUCUAUCCGAUGUCUCCUCCAUGCUACGAAGAGUAGCGGUUAGUGUCAUCUCUCGUAGUGGAGAUGAUGCCGUAUCCGUGAUGUACUUGGACUAGGAGUCUAAGGUAGUUGCCUCAAGGCUUACUUCUAACUGGAGUAGAACUCUAAGUGAUAAGUCACCGGCCCACGGUUGGUCUUAUCCCCAAGAGGCCUAGUCCUGAUCAAACUAGGAGUCUUGGUUCUAUAGAACUACGUACGGCUUGAUCCCCUAUAUAAAGGGGUACGUAGGCACAUCAAGGGGAUAUAUCGAGAGUUGUGAGAACGAGAGCAGAAAUAUAUUCCCUUGAUCUCAGCCACCCUCAAACACCUAAAACCACCGUCCACGGCGGAUCUCCGUCAUAUAAUCACCGUAAAAACACCUAAGUCCGUCAACGAACCUCACGUUUGUUGAUUCACCAAAUUCCUCUAUCAACAAAUUGGCGCUAGAAGGAGGGGAACCAGGUGAAAUCUCAAAGAGGAAGAGAUGGCCAACCACGACGAUGAUUUGUAUGAAGGAGAGUACUACGUUGAAGACGAACCAGUAGAACCGUACUCACCGGUGCACAUUGAAGACCCCCGCACCUUGCCUAACAACCCACCUCCGGUUGUGGUCAGUAAUACGGAGCUUCUUAGUGCCCUUCACCGAAUGGAACAAAAUCAAGCAAGAUACAACACACGGUUGAAUACCCUGGAGUCCGUCCUGGAAGAACUCGCACCCCGACGCCCUCACCAGUCUAGGAGCCAUGAUAGGAGGGGACGCAGACGUUUCAGACGCCCCACACCUCGAAUGUUGGAGUAUGGAGAUGCAACUCCCGGCGCUAAUCAUCCCCAAGGAACAACCGUCAACCACGGGGCUCAUGGUACCCAGGGCGCGCCCUUGACCGUCUCCGUACCACCAACUCAGCCGGGAGGGUCCGGGCAAGGAAGAGGAAAUCAGAACGCGAACGCCCGACCCUUGGCCGAAAGACUUGGGAUCACACCAGAAAGCCUAGCCAUGAUUGUGCAUCUGGCGGGAGAGGAACAGCGAGAACGCCAGGGGACUCAAGGCGCGCCCUCAGAGCAAAGGCGCGACACCGGCGUUGGCAGAACCUACCGGGGAGUAAGAGGUAGAGGCAGAGACCACACAUCAAUCGGAGGAAGAGGUCGCGGACCACCCAUAAUUGAGUACCUCCCCUCGCAAAGCGAGUCUAGCCAGCACACACCAAACCAGUUAGGUCGAAGGAGGUCGCGCCCCCUCAAUGGCAACACAGGCGCAACCCAUCAAACCAAUCCGAACCAGUAGAACCGUACUCACCGGUGCACAUUGAAGACCCCCGCACCUUGCCUAACAAACCACCUCCGGUUGUGGUCAGUAAUACGGAGCUUCUUAGUGCCCUUCACCGAAUGGAACAAAAUCAAGCAAGAUACAACACACGGUUGAAUACCCUGGAGUCCGUCCUGGAAGAACUCGCACCCCGACGCCCUCACCAGUCUAGGAGCCAUGAUAGGAGGGGACGCAGACGUUUCAGACGCCCCACACCUCGAAUGUUGGAGUAUGGAGAUGCAACUCCCGGCGCUAAUCAUCCCCAAGGAACAACCGUCAACCACGGGGCUCAUGGUACCCAGGGCGCGCCCUUGACCGUCUCCAUACCACCAACUCAGCCAGGAGGGUCCGGGCAAGGAAGAGGAAAUCAGAACGCGAACGCCCGACCCUUGGCCGAAAGACUUGGGAUCACACCAGAAAGCCUAGCCAUGAUUGUGCAUCUGGCGGGAGAGGAACAGCGAGAGCGCCAGGGGACUCAAGGCGCGCCCUCAGAGCAAAGGCGCGACACCGGCGUUGGCAGAACCUACCGGGGAGUAAGAGGUAGAGGCAGAGACCACACAUCAAUCGGAGGAAGAGGUCGCGGACCACCCAUAAUUGAGUACCUCCCCUCGCAAAGCGAGUCUAGCCAGCACACACCAAACCAGUUAGGUCGAAGGAGGUCGCGCCCCCUCAAUGGCAACACAGGCGCAACCCAUCAAACCAAUCCUCAACAAACCACACCUAAUGACCAGACAGGCGUGACCAAUCAAACCACUCCUCACGAUCAUACGGGCACAAACCCUCAAGCCAACGCUCAAGGUAAUGCUCAGCAAACUAUUCCUAUCAUCACUAACCCUCAGCAAACAACUCCCAUCACGACCAAUCAACAGGCCACUGGGACCCAACAACAAACACCCACGGGUACGCAGACGACCCUUGCUACGACCGUCGUUCAAACCCCAGGCGGCAACACCAAUACUGUGGCCACACCUAUCACUACCCUAGCUAAUAAUACCGGCACAACGGUUACACCCAUUACUACCCAAACGGCUACGCAAACCAUCCCUGGACUCGGAGCCAUCAACGGAGAAGACCUUAAGAAACUACUUGCCCUCCUACAAGCUGGACAUUCCACCGCUGUACCUAACAUCCCUUCGCCAUUCACCGCUGCGGUCCGUGACGCCCAACUCCCAACAGGGUUCAGACAUGUGAAUGCAGACCUUCGAUACCAUGGCAAUUCGGACCCCCGGGAAUUCUUAAUCAGGUUCAACAUUGAGAUGGACUUGUAUCAAAUUCCAGACCUCGUCAGGUGUAGGUUCCUUGCGGCAAGUCUAAGGGAAAGUGCUCAGCAAUGGUUUCAGAAAUUAGGGGAAGGUGUGAUCUCUUCUUGGGUAGACAUGCAGCGAAUGUUCAUGAUGCAGUUUCAAGCCGCGACCAAAUACGCCCCACCAGUCACCACCUUAGCCAAUGUCAAGCAACGCGAUAACGAAUCUCUAACCGCAUACUUCAAGAGGUUCAACCAGGAGUCUAUGGGGGUUACGGGAGCGUCAGAUGAGACCUUGAAAAAUUUCCUCAUCGCCGGUUUAAAGGUUGGAACCGAUUUCUGGAAGCACCUACAGGGGAAAGACCCGUCUAACCUGUCAGAGCUGUACGCAGCAGCCGAGUCCUUCAAGAAGGUAGAACAGUCACUCGCUGAGAAUCAGAAAGAAAUCGCCAAGUCGCGGGGUAAGAGAAAGGAACAAACACCUAGUCCGGAACCAAAAGGACGUGGACGUUCCCCAGCAAGGGUACACAUGGCUAGUGAUAGAAGGAAUUAGAGUCCCCCGAGACAACCAGGCACGUACACCCCUCUCGUGGCGUCAGCCGAGCACAUCUAUGCGGUAAGCAAAGAUAAGGCCCCUUUUCGGAAGCCGCAGCCUAUUCCCUAUAACGUUGCCAAAGACAAGAAGAAGUACUGUGACUUCCACGAAUCGGCUGGACAUAACACCGCGGACUGUAGACACCUUAAGGAGGAGAUUGAGGAGUUACUCAGGGCAGGUUACUUAACGGAAUGGGUAAAGAAAUAUAGAAUGGAUCACCCACCGGAAAGGCGCGCCCGCGGAAGAUCACCCGAAAAUAAAGAUGAUGAAAAGCAGAGCGACACCCAGUUUGUGAGGGAAGGUAGCAUUAGGAGCAUAUUCGGAGGCCCCUACAUAGGUGGAGGCAGUCGAAAGGCAAUGGAGAGGUACGCCAAGGAGGCAAGGGACUACCCCCUUACCAACGUAAACCAUUUAUCAGCCAGGGCCCCGAGAGUCUUCAAAGGAGAAACUAUGGACAUCACUUUCACAGAGGACGAAGCUAGAUGGGCACACCAUCCCCACAACGAUGCCCUGGUGGUCGCCAUGCGCAUCGCCACUAUGAACGUUCACCGGGUAUUCGUGGAUAAUGGAAGUUCGGUUAACAUCCUCUACUACGACACUUACAAGAAGAUGGGACUACCAGAUAAAGACAUGACAGUAGAGAACCUCUACAUCUAUGGCUUCGGAGGAGAGGCCAUCAAGGCUAAAGGAACCAUCCGCCUACCUGUGACAUUGGGAGAAGCGCCACGGGCGACCACACAGAUAUCUGAGUUCGUAAUCAUCGACCACCCGUCAGCUCAUAAUGCACUAAUGGGGCGCCCUCUCUUGAAAGACAUGAGGAUAGUUACCUCCAUCUAUCAUCUCACUUUGAAGUUUCCUACUCCUGGAGGGGUUGGGUGCGUAAAGGGAUCUCAGUACGAGUCUCGCGACUGCUAUGGCCGAUCGCUCAAAAAUUUUCAGGAGAAGAGAGGAGUGAGACCCCAUGAGGAACUCCAUUCAGUCCACGCUAUCUACUUUAUCCAAUACCCGGAAAGUGAUACGGAGGGCGCGCCCUCACCCUUACCAUCCGAAGAACACAUCCACUUCGAGGAUAAACUACCCCUCACACAUGAGUCAAAGGUGGGAGAAUGUAAAGAGCGAGUCGGGGAGGCAGGGGUCCCCCCCCCCCCCGCCAAAAUCCGGAAGAUAGACAAGGCAGAGGUAGUGAUGGAACUAGAUGACCCCGUACCAAUUAAAGGAACACCCGAGCAUACAUCCCCAGAACACAAGGCAAACCCCCAACAAUUUGAUUUUGAUCUAGACCCUAGGUUGCCUAUGCCCAUGGGCACGUACACCCCCCUCGUGGCGUCAGCCGAGCACAUCUAUGCGGUAAGCAAAGAUAAGGCCAUGCAGAACACGGGACCAGCUGAGGACACAGUCGAGAUACAGGUUACACCGGGGAGUGACGACAAGGUCCUCAAAAUAGGGUCGAAACUAAGUUCUGAGGUAAGGACCAAGCUGACAGAGUUCCUAAAGGCCAACCUUGAUGUGUUCGCUUGGAGUCAUGAAGACAUGAUCGGGAUUGAUCCGGCUGUUAUGUGUCACCAUCUCAACAUCGACCCCACCAAAAAAGGUAUUAGACAGAAGCGUAGACCAAUAAGUGGGGAAAGAGCUGAGGCCCUCCAGGAAGAGGUAGACCGUCUCAUGAAAGCGGGACUAGUAAAAGAGUCGUUCUACCCAACAUGGCUAGCAAACCCUGUGCUGGUGAAAAAACCCAACGGGAAGUGGCGUACCUGCAUAGACUUCACAGACCUUAACAAGGCGUGUCCUAAAGAUAGCUUCCCACUGCCUAGGAUCGAUCAGCUGGUAGACUCAACGGCCGGCCACGCUCUCCUUAGUUUCAUGGAUGCAUACUCGGGUUACAACCAGAUCCCCAUGUACGAGCCUGACCAGGAGCACACCUCAUUUAUCACGGACAGAGGUCUAUAUUGUUAUAUUGGCAUGCCAUUUGGACUCAUUAACGCAGGCGCGACUUACCAAAGGCUCGUAAACAUGAUGUUCAAGGAUCAAAUCGGAAAGACCAUGGAGGUGUACGUUGAUGACAUGUUGGUAAAAUCCAAGAAAGCCAAUGAUCAUGUGUCCCACUUAUCUGACAUGUUCGAAAUCCUAAGGAAGUACAGGAUGAAGCUCAACCCUCAAAAGUGUGUCUUCGGAGUGGAGUCAGGGAAGUUUCUUGGUUUUAUGGUGAACCACAGAGGUAUUGAGGCCAAUCCUGCGAAAAUCAAAGCUUUGUUAGAGAUGAAGUCUCCAACCAAUAUCAAACAGGUCCAAAGCCUAACCGGAAGGAUCGCCGCUUUGAACAGGUUUGUAUCAAAGUCUUCCGAAAAAUGCAAAGAGUUCUUCAAGGCCGUGAAGGGUGCAUCCAAGGAUUUUGAAUGGACGGUAGAAUGUGAAAGCGCUUUCGUGAAAAUCAAAAAACACUUGGGCGAGCCACCCCUCUUAGCCAAACCAGAUGAAGGUGAGACACUCGUACUCUACCUAGCUGUCUCAGACUACUCCAUCAGUGCCGUUUUGGUGAAGGAGGACGCAGAUGGUCAGUCCCCAGUCUAUUAUGUAAGUAAAAGGUUGUUGGACGCAGAGACUCGCUACACAAGUAUGGAAAAGUUGGUGUAUGCUUUGGUACACGCAUCCCGAAAACUACGACCCUACUUCCAAGCGCAUAAGGUGGAAGUACGGACCGCGUACCCCCUUCGUCAAAUCAUGCACAAACCAGAGGUAACAGGCAGGAUGAUGAAGUGGGCGAUUGAAUUAGGAAAAUUCGACAUUGACUACAGCCCGCGUACCGCCAUCAAAGGUCAAGCCCUGGCGGAUUACAUUUUAGAGUUUCCGGAAGAUGGAGAGAACUCUGGCCUACUAAUCAAAUAUGACCCAGACCUACCCCCACAACCGGACGCCCCGAAAGAAGAUAUCCCCGAACUAUGGUGGACGGUGCACACCGACGGCGCUGUGAAUAAUGACGGAGCAGGUGCUGGCAUAGUAUUGGUAAGCCCCGAGGGACACAGGCUCUUGAACGCAAUCCACUUCACCUUCCAACUAUCUAAUAACGACGCAGAAUAUGAGGCAUUAGUGGGAGGCUUAAAGCUAGCCCUCGAGAUGAAAGUCAGAAGACUUGUGGUGAAGCUUGACUCAAUGCUGGUGGUAGAGCAUAUAAAAGGGGGGUACCAAGCCAAGGGGCCCAAGACAGCUAUGUACCUCCAAUGCGUCCAGAGGUUGCUAGACCAAUUUGAGGAAGUGCAAGUCAACAAGGUACCUAGAGAGUUCAACGGAGACGCCGACGCCUUGGCGAAAUUGGGAUCUCAAAAAGAAGCUUCCUUGUUGGGGGUGAUUCGGUUGGAAGUCCAAGAGGUGCCUAGCAUCCCGGAACUAAAUGUCAUGGAGGUAGGAGACGGCGUCAAGCAUCAAACAUGGAUGACACCGAUAUGGGAUUUCAUUAAGGAAGGAAAGCUACCCGAAGACAAAGCCGAAGCACGGAGGCUGAGAUAUAAGGCAGCCAGGUAUGUCGAGUAUGACGGCAAACUAUAUAAGAGGGGCUUCAACCAGCCAUUGUUGAAGUGUAUAGACGGUGAUGAGUGCACCUAUGUACUGAGAGAGGUCCAUGAAGGCAUAUGUGGGAACCACUCGGGAGGUAACUCAUUAGCUAUGAAGGUUCUAAGGCAAGGAUACUACUGGCCUACCCUAAGGAGUGACGCCUUCGAUUUCGCCAGAGCGUGUGAUAAGUGCCAACGGUUUGCCAACUUCACCCAUAACCCAGCAACAUCCUUGACCAGCAUGACCAGUCCUUGGCCUUUUGCCAUGUGGGGGAUAGACUUGAUUGGGGAACUCCCUAAAGCCAAGGGAGGUGUGAAGUACGCGGUGGUAGCUGUGGAUUACUUUACCAAGUGGGCGGGCAAGUCAACAAGGUACCUAGAGAGUUCAACGGAGACGCCGACGCCUUGGCGAAAUUGGGAUCUCAAAAAGAAGCUUCCUUGUUGGGGGUGAUUCGGUUGGAAGUCCAAGAGGUGCCUAGCAUCCCGGAACUAAAUGUCAUGGAGGUAGGAGACGGCGUCAAGCAUCAAACAUGGAUGACACCGAUAUGGGAUUUCAUUAAGGAAGGAAAGCUACCCGAAGACAAAGCCGAAGCACGGAGGCUGAGAUAUAAGGCAGCCAGGUAUGUCGAGUAUGACGGCAAACUAUAUAAGAGGGGCUUCAACCAGCCAUUGUUGAAGUGUAUAGACGGUGAUGAGUGCACCUAUGUACUGAGAGAGGUCCAUGAAGGCAUAUGUGGGAACCACUCGGGAGGUAACUCAUUAGCUAUGAAGGUUCUAAGGCAAGGAUACUACUGGCCUACCCUAAGGAGUGACGCCUUCGAUUUCGCCAGAGCGUGUGAUAAGUGCCAACGGUUUGCCAACUUCACCCAUAACCCAGCAACAUCCUUGACCAGCAUGACCAGUCCUUGGCCUUUUGCCAUGUGGGGGAUAGACUUGAUUGGGGAACUCCCUAAAGCCAAGGGAGGUGUGAAGUACGCGGUGGUAGCUGUGGAUUACUUUACCAAGUGGGCGGAGGCCGCGCCCUUAGCCACCAUCACAGCCAAAAAGAUUAAGGAUUUUGUUUUUAACUCUAUUGUUUGCAGGUUUGGAAUCCCUUACAAGCUGAUCUCGGACAACGGAAAGCAAUUCGACAGCAAGGAAUUGAGAGGCCUCUGUGAUGACCUCGGAAUCAAGAAGGAUUUUGCAGCGGUAUACCAUCCCCAGAGCAAUGGGCAGACGGAGGCGGUGAAUAAAAUCAUCAAACACACCUUGAAGACUAAGCUGGAAGAUAGCAAGGGAAGCUGGCCGGAGGAACUCCCCAUGGUGCUAUGGUCUUACAACACGACUCCUAGGACUACGACUGGGGAGUCGCCAUUUGUGUUGACCUACGGAUGUGAAGCCAUGGUUCCAAUAGAGGUCGGAGCUGGGUCGUUCAGGCGAGAUUACUUUGAGAAACAGGACAACGAUGUCAACCAAAGACUCUACUUGGAUAUGAUUGAAGAGAUCAGAGCUACCUCGCAGAUACGAUUAGCUGCAUACCAGCAACGAACAGCGAGGUAUUACAACAACAAAGUGAAGGCUCACCCAUUCCAAGUAGGAGACCUCGUCCUCAGAAAAGUUGUGCUCAACAAUAAGAACCCCUUGCAUGGGGUCUUCGGUGCCAACUGGGAAGGUCCCUACAGGGUGAAGGUGAUACUAUGGAAGGGAUCCUAUAGACUGGAAGACUUAGCCGGGAAGCCUGUUCCGCGCCCCUGGAAUACGGAACACCUGAAGAAAUACUAUCAGUAGACAAAGGCUGCAUAGACUAGCCAUGACACUAAUGUCAUCCCUAGUCUAGGGGAGUGGUGAUGCAUAUAUGCUCUCUCCUAGCAGAGGUUUUUUGCUAGUCUUUUUAUGUCCCCUUGGGGUUAACAGCUCCCUGGGACGGGUGCGGUUUCGUACUCGAGCGCAUUAUCUCUAUCGUAUGUAGGUAUGGGCCCGAGGCCAUGGCAUGUUUUAACUAUCUUAAUAAAGGCCUAGAGCCACUCUAUUUCCACAAAAAGAUUGUGUCGAAUGAUUGUUUCUGAACAACUGUGAUUAGAACGGCUCCGGAGCCGCGCCCUGGCCCUAAAAUAUUCUAAGGCAGGAGAAGGGCGCGCCGGUAGAAUACUAACAAAAGAAUUUAAGAAUGAUAGAAAUAUUCUGAAGCAGGGAGGCGCCCCUGAUAAAGGGAAGGCCGCGCCCCUUCUAACAAAAGACAUGCUUAAUCCCAUAUCCAAAGGCGAUAGGCAUAAUUCAGAGUGAUAGCCAUGAAUAAACGGUAAAGACAAGACACAUUUGCAAUGACAGUUUCACAAAGCCACAGUAAAGAUACUGUUUAAAAGACCUUAGGGCGCGCCCUAAGCGAUAGCGCCCCCGCUAUAGGCAUAAUGGUACAAACCAUGAGAAACAUGCUAAGGCAUGCGGAGGCCGCGCCCCCAACAAGAUGAAGGUCGCGCCCUAGCCUAAGGCUGGACUUAAAGAAAGCUAUAAGCCUGUGAUUUCGAGCAAGAAACAAUGUCUUCGCCACAUGAAAUGGUGCAGUAAGAUCACAUAGCUAAGUUAAUAGCAACAACAGGCAUUACUGAGAGACACUAACAACAUCAUCAAGACAAUUAGAUAAAUUAAUAGCCAACCGGAGGGCGCGCCCCCCGGAUUAAUUCUGAAUGUCACAGAUGAAAAUUUGUUUAAGUACAAUUUGCAAGGCAUCAAAAGAGGGCCUGCUCCUCAGUGUACGUCCAGGGUUUAAAGGGAUAAAGCAAAAUUAACUUAAGAAGCUUGGUUGUCAACAGUGUCCUUGGUCACAUUGUCCUGAGGGCGCGCCUGUUCCUCAGCCUCCCUAUGGGCAGAAGCUUCUUUUGCCAAGGUUUCCUCGAUAAGAACCUUCUUAGCAUCAAUGAGGGCUGGUUGUUCGACCUUGAAUUCUUCUACCCAUUUUGCCAUCUCGGAACCAAAGUGGGAGCCCCAGUCAAAAGAGGGCGCGCCAGCAACGAAGGUGGCCACAUAAUUGUUAACCCCAUCGUCGAAGGCCGCGCCCUCGAUCUUUGUGACUUCCGCAGCUGUAAGUGAGGCCUGGUUGUCCUUGAGUUCCUGGUUGGCAGCAGCUAAGUCCUCAUUUAACUUCUUUAAGUUCUCAACCUCUCUUUGAAGAGGCUCAAGGCACGCCCUUUCCUCUUUCAACGACCUCUGACAACUCCUCCAUCCAUCCUGCGCCUUCUUCAGAUCCUCCCUUUGAGACUUGAAAUCCUCCUUCAAUUUGGAGAGGUUCUCCUCGGCCUUCUUCAGGGAGGCCGCGUCCUCUAGUCGACGUUCCUCCCUGUCGUGGAGAUGAACGAGGAACUCGGCCGCGCCCUUGAGCAAAAAAGUGUCCUUUUCCUCCUGAGGUUUGGCCCUCCAUUGGUCAAGCUCCUUUUCAUCGACAUAGGUAUCACCUAUGUCGGCGAAAAGGCGCGCCGAUUUGCCCAUGGAGGGCGCGCCCUUGGUUAACUGCCUCUUCCUUUUGGCAGGUUGUUGCUCAGUAGUGGGAGCUUCUGGGAUGUCAGGAAUUGUCCGAGUUAGGGCAGAAGCCGCGCCCUUAUCUGGAAGUUGCUUGGAGCCAGAGGCCGCGGCCCUGUCUGGCUGGUGGGUAGCGGCACCUUUCUUACCAAUGAAGCUUGGACGAGGCAUAUCUGCACAAGUGAAACCAAGGAAAAAGGGGUUAGGAGUUGGAGAAAUCAGUCAAUAUUAAAGGACACAACCCCGGUAGAAAGGCCGCGCCCUCUUCCACUAAAAAAGAAAAAAAAUCAUCACAAUAUACAUACAAUUGCAUGUUUAAACGACAUGUAGGAGAAAUAAUGCAAGUGGAAAAAUGCAUGAUGAAUAAAAGAUAAGUGGCAAGGGCGCGCCCUUGCGUGUCAAACGCAGCCUUGAAUAUAAAGCAUGGCACAUACCAGCAAUCAGGGGAGUAUAAAUGAGAGUGUAAUGUAGAGGAAAAGGGAAUAAGUUGAAGGCGCGCCCAUAUGACUGGGCGCGCCGUCGCCUUACCAUCUUCAUUGUCACCCUCCGAGUCGCUGGACUCAGCCCUCUUUCUCUUGGUGCCCUUCAAUUUUUCGCCCACAGGGCGUCCAUCAAUGAAUCUCUUCCAUCCUACUUUCGUCCCAACCUCCUCUGGUAGUAGCUUAACCUUGAUCAGGUUCUGCUCGGUAACCACAGAGGGAAGGUUCCUCUCAGCAAGUGGAAGGUUGAAUACCUUGGCCACACGCUCAGCUUCCUUUGCUGUAAGAGUCGGUUUAUCGUGAUAAACUGAAGAAGGAGGGUGGAGAAGUAAGGAUCUUGGAGUAAAAAGAAGAAGGGUCGCGCCCUCACCUGAAGGGCGCGCCCUUAUAAGAUUAAGAAAGAGGGUGGCAUACCUGGUUCUGGGUUAAACUGGGUGGUGACCCGGGUAGUGUUGUAAAUGUAGAAGAAUGUGUCUUUCCACUUCUUUACGUGUGUAUUCCUACCCUCAGAGAAACCUUUUCUGUUGUGCUCGUGCUGCACCACAAGGUAAAAGUAUCCUGGUUGACUUUGAGCCAACCUGAAGAAAUAGCUCACCUCCCUCAUGGAGGGCGCGCCCAAACCCACUUUAUCGAAAAGAAUAUAAAGUCCGGCGGCCAACAUGUAAGAGUUAGGCGAGAGUUGGAUGGGCGCGACCUGGAACCAAUCACACAGGUCGACAUAGUAUGAUGGCAAGGGCGCGGUCACACCCAAGGGUACGUGCCUAAGGGUGGUGACCAUUCUUGGUAUUCGAAUAUUUUCUUUAUCAAAUCUAUGGGGUCGCAUCCCAUCUUUGGGGACAACAGCUUUCCCCUCCAUAUGAUAAUAGGCUUGCAGCCACUCUAGCUCAUCCCAGGAAAUGAAGGAGUCCUGGUCUACACAGGCCAGUUUGCCUGCUCUUCUCUUGAUGGCUUCCACAGCCCUAGGAGACAAGGUGUCAUUGUCAGGAAGGGUGUCCCACUCAAUAUCUUCUUCCCAUGACUCUAUCUUGGGAUGUUCAUAGGGCUCUGGAGAACUGUCAGGGGAGGUGAUUGUGACUAGGCCCCUCUUCAGGCGCGCCUUCGGAUUCUGAAGAGCUUUCUUGACAAAGGGGAGAGUUAGGAGGAGUGUCGUCAAUAGCAAUCCUUUUCCCUUUGUCAGGUUUAGAAGGCGCGGCUUCAGUCAUCCUGGAGGGCGCGGCCUCCGUUGCGUUGUCAGCCUUGGUGUGUGGAGGGCCAUCAUCAAACCAUGACUCGAUUUCGGAAUCGUAGUCCGCAGGGCGCGCCCAAUGGCUGGAUGGCUGGGCCUGAGUAGUGUCUUGAGGCUGAGGCGAAGAGGAAUCCAUGUCUGAAAUGAAAGUGCCCUCCGCUAUUUGUUUGUUGAUUCUCUCUAAGAGCUCUUGUGGAACCCUUUGAGGGCUUCUGGGAGGAGAAGGAGGAAAGACCUCAGGAGGGGAAACUGAUAUCCCGAUGCGGCUGAGGAAAUCUCGAAAGGGAUGAAAAGGAGGAGACGCGCCCUCGUCUGCCAGCUUAAAAGAAAAAAGUGAAGAAGGUGUGAGGGCGCGCCCAUGGAGAAGAAUAUGAGGGGAUAAAAGAGAAAAGAGAUAAGUGAAGAUGGGAGGUUCAAAAGAAUAGAAGGACGCGACCUAGUCGGGCAGGGCGCGCCCUCUAUGCAUUAUGACUAGCGGAUGAGAGAGUGGUGGUCUAGUGUGGCUUUCACUAUAGUUCGUAAGCGCGCCCUCGAAGGAGGCCGCGCCCUUGGGCACUUAAGCCAUUAUUCGACAAACAGAAUACACUAUAUUAUUAAUUGCAAUUUUAGAUCAAACGCGAAGCAAGUUAAUAUACAGAUAUACAUAUACAUAUAUGUUGACAGCAAGAACAUGAAGAACAGCGGGAAGACGAAAGGACAUGGUGCUAGAUCUAGUAAAAUUCAUGGUGGGAUCUUGCAAAAGAAUAACGAAAAUGUACCUUAGGAGUUGGGGAGUCGAUUUGUUGGACCGAAAUCGCCGGAAAAUUGCCGGAAGAUGGAGUUCUGGUGCCGGAAAUUUGAAAUCGCCGCCUGAGAGAGAGAGUGUAUGGAAAUGAUGAAAUGGAGACGAAGAAGGAGUAUUUAUAGUAGGAGGUUGGAUGUGACAGCUGUCCUCUUGUAACGGUUGUGGCUUUUCAAAUUCAGAAGGGGGAGGUCGCGCCGGUCACGAAAGGCGCGCCCUCUGUUAAGGAUGAGGGAUGCUCUGUGAAGAUUUCCUAGACAUUUGCAAUAUCUACCAAAUCUGGGGAGUACUUGUUGUAGCCGUUUUUAGGCUGUGGGGGAGUAGAGGAGGGCGCGCCCUCCACGGCAUGAUCCCGGGAGGCGCGGCCUCCUGUCUUAAGUGUAGGUGUCGCGUGUCUGAAGUACAGGAAGAAAUAAGUAGUGAAGACCCAAGGCGCGCCCUCCGUGGUCGCGCCCACAGGUGAUGAAUAUGUGUGAGGUUGAGUGAGUCUCGACGACGACCCUUCCGAGGGAUACGAAGACCUACCCUUCCGAGGGAUAUGAAGACUAGUGCCAGAGCUCAUCUGGUAGUUAUCAGGCUCAUCUGGUAGUUCCCGGGUUACGUCCGGGCAUGAUCUAUAAUCCCCAGUCCUGCUAUCUGCCGGGUUGUCCUCGUGCGGGGGCCUGGGGUGAUCAUGGUUGUAGAAGGCCCUCAGGGGUAACACGAAGGCCGAUCAUAUGUCCGGGUCCUGUAUUCUGGUGAGUUAGUCCUCAUUGGGGGACUGGGACGAUCGUGUAACUUGGCUCCUCAAUUGUCUUAUCUCUUAGUGAGAACCUUCACUAGGGGGUAAGGACGCGUCCCUACGCCUCAUGGAAGUGGUCACGACUCUGUCCGAUGUCUCCUCCAUGUUACGAAGAGUAGCGGUUAGUGUCAUCUCUCGUAGUGGAGGUGAUGCCGUAUCCGUGAUGUACUUGGAUUAGGAUUCUAAGGUAGUUGUCUCAAGGCUUACUUCUAACUGGAGUAGAACUCUAAGUGAUAAGUCUCCGACCCAUGGUUGGUCUUAUCCCCAAGAGGCCUAGUCCUGAUCAAACUAGGAGUCUUGGUUCUAUAGAACUACGUACGGCUUGAUCCCCUAUAUAAAGGGGUACGUAGGCACAUCAAGGGGAUAUAUCGAGAGUUGUGAGAACGAGAGCAGAAAUAUAUUCCCUUGAUCUCAGCCACCCUCAAACACCUAAAACCACCGUCCACGGCGGAUCUCCGUCAUAUAAUCACCGUAAAACACCUAAGUCCGUCAACGAACCUCACGUUUGUUGAUUCACCAAAUUCCUCUAUCAACAGAAACAAAACACAACUUAUCUUUAACUGCCAAACCUAGGUUUUUUAAGCCAUGCAACAUUAUUCAUCAUCAACUUGUAAGAACAUUUGUAACCGAAUUCUCCACCACCGUAACCAACUCCGGCCGACCAUAGGUGGACCAUCAUCGCCGUGUGACAUCUUCAUCAGCCACCGCGGCAUCGACACGAAAGAUAAUGUGGCCGGAUUGUUGUACGAUCAUCUCUCAAGGCUAGGGUUUCGGCCUUUCUUGGAUAGCAAGAAUAUGAAGCCGGGUGAUAAACUGUUUGAUAAAAUUGACACUGCUGUACGACAGUGUAAGCUUGGGAUAUCUGUUUUAUCGCCGCGGUACUGCGAUUCGUAUUUUUGCUUGCAUGAAUUGUCACUGAUUAUGGAGUCGAACAAAAAAUUUAUUCCGAUUUUUGUUGACGUAAAGCCCUCGGAGCUUCGUGUCAGGGAUAACGGGUGUUGCACCGCCGAAAAUCUGAAAAGGUUUUCUUGGGCUCUUCAGGAGGCCAAGUACACUGUUGGCUUAACUUUCAAUACAUCUAAAGGGUAAGUGCAUAAAUCAUUAUAUGUAAUUCUACAUAUAUAAUUACAAAUUUUUGUUUCAUAAUUUAAAAGAAAAUUGAAUAAUGUUCGAUUAAUGCAUAGAGUUUUGUGAUGUAUGUUGAUGUUGAUAAUGCAGUAACUGGUCCGAGUUUCUGAUGGAUGCGUCUGACGCGGUGAUGAAGAAUUUGCUGGAAGUAAAAGAUUGAUAUAGCUGGUGAAUUGCAAUACUUUAUUUAAUGACUUGCAAAAAUUGCAAGGGGAUCUACAAAUUUACUGAUUCUUUUAACUUAUAAAUUCUCUAAAUGUUUGUUCAUUCAUUUUCUUAUCAUCACUUGUAUUUAUCUUUCUUCGGUAACCUAAUAAGACCAUUUACUCGUAUUAGAUCAGGUCAUUUUAUUGUAUGCUUGUAAAUGCUGUACCUAGAACCGAACCGAGCGAGCGAGAGGCUAGCUAGCUGCUGAAAUCUCAGUUGGCUCAGAAAAUCUUUUUUUUAUAUAUUUCAAUAAUGUUUUCAGUUUUCUCUUAUAAUAAUAAGAUAUAACAUAUUUAUUCAUACGAUCUCUGACUGAUUUAAAACAAUCAGUUUAUAAUCAUAAUCGAUUUUAAACUCAGGUCAUUUUGAUUUCUGAUUAUGUUCCCGUGAUUAAAAACUUUGGGCAGUAUUAAAGACGUUCUUGGAUUUAAUCAAUCAUGUACGUAUAUGUGAUUGAUGCAAAUGUGUGUCUGAACUCUGAAUAUACAAAUUUCUUCAAAUCGACUUCACUGAAAUAUACUCCCUCCGUCCCCUGAGUAGUAUACAUUGGGGACGGGUACGCACGGACUUUAAUGCUCCUGUAAAGUAUAGUUGUGUAAUUUAUUUUUAAAAUUUUCUUUUUCUAAAUUAUAGUUUGGAUGUUAUAUUUUUAUUCAGAAAAAAAAAAUCUCAAAAAUAAGUUAUGGAACUAUAUUUUAUAAGAGCAUUGAAAUACGUGUCGAGCAGUUGAAAAGAAACGUAUACAAUUAAAUGGUACAGAAUAAGUAAUCAGAACCUCUUAGCACCGCCACGAUUUUUAAAGGAGGCAGACAAAAUUCAUGCGCAUAUAGCCAUAUACUACAUAGUAUAGCAUUGGAUGUGUUUGACCAUUCUAUUAAACAUGUUCCAAGUAAAAAUAAUAUAAUGUUUUAGAAAAUGAUAAUGGGGAUUAUUUGGUGAAGAAACCAUACGAUAGAGGAAUUUAUAUAAUGAUUAAUCGGUUAUGGGUUAACUAGAGUAUGUGGCGGUAUAAUGCAAAUUAUUUUUUGAUUUUUUUUUAAAAAUCACGGCACGCUUGUUUUAGUUAGAUUAGUCUAGAUUUGUUCCGUUAACCGAAUGCAAGUAAUUCAUCAUUUGAAAUUUGGAACCCCGCACUAAUAGAGAAUAUUUUCCCAUAAAAAAAAUUAUAUCAUUAUUAUGAUAUUUGAUUCAAUUAUCUGAAAAUCUUCAUUUGAUCAAGAUAUAUCUACCAAUGGACUAAUCCUGAUACAACAUUGAAAAAAAUUUACAUCACACUUUCUAAGUUAUUAAUUAUCCAUUAUGUGAAUUAUCAUAAGAUUAGGAUUGAAAAUUCCUGCAUAUUUCAAUAUAUAUAUNNNNNNNNNNNNAUAUAUAUAUAUAUAUCAUAAGCUAACCGAAGUUGUUACAAGAGCAAUUUAUCGUAUAAUAGCCAAUCUACAUGCAAGAUAUGUGUCUGUAUUUUACAUGUUGUAUGCAACCUUAUAUAAUCUUGCAAUAGUGAUUGUUUUAACUAACUGAAAUUUUAUUUUAUAUAAAAUGAAUGAGUACAAAAAGUUUAUACAGUACACAUUUGACGUUAUUCUUCGUCCCGUUCAUUUUUUUUAACACUUUUUUUUAUAAUAUCUCACUUCUUUACAAAACUAAAAUAAUUAAAUAUCUUUCAUAUUAUUAAUAUUAAUAGGUCCUGUCAUCUUAAAACCCACCAUUUCUAAGUGGUUAUUAUCUUAGUUUAAUAAUUUGCUUAAAUUCCAAGCCAACAACAUUAUUAAAAAAUUAUUGAAAAGAAGAGAGUUCAUAAGAAUAUUAAAAUAUUUAAUAUACCAUCGUACUGUAUCAUAAUCACGAAUGCAAUAUAUUUUUCAAAUUUGUAAGUAUAUGUAUCUACUUUUCUAACAUUCACGUGUUUAACUAGAUAGAAAGAGAACUAAUUUAGUACAGUAAUAUGAAAUAGGAACCUGCUGAAAAAUUAAAUGUGGUAUUUGUGUUUACAUGGCGAACUUGGGUAGACAUUUGAAUCUUCUUUUGAAUCGACAAGAUCGGAGGGAACAUGGGUGUUUCAUUUGUUUUGGUGUUUGCAAAAAUAGCAAAAACAGGUCCCACCGAGACUUGAACUCGGGUUACUGGAUUCAGAGUCCAAUGUCCUGACCACUAGACCAUGGGACCAUUUGCGCCACUUCAGGACAAGAAGAGCUUUUGAGACUAUUUCAACCCAGAUGAGGACAAACACAGUUGAACUAUAAACCACAGCAUUGUCAGUACGAUGCUAAAAUGAGAAGCAAGUCCUUUUUACAAGCAAUACUUAGUGACUACAAAACAACAUUUUACCAUAUACAUGCCUAAAGAAUGAACAAAUUUCAUAUCACAUUUUAUAAAAGUUAAAAAAAAAAAAACAGAGAUGCGCAUUCAGCAGGCAAAAGCAAGUUUAAGAGGUCUGCAGUUUGCAACAUUGGGGUAUUGUUCAUAAAGUUUGUUUGGUUACUCUUUUUGUUUGCAUAAUUAAGUACUGCAUUUGAAACAACUCGAUAUAAUGCAAUUAAUUCCUCACCGUGGUAGGAAUUAACGUCAGAGCUAUGUACAUUCACACAGUUAUUAAUGAAUGGUUGGCACACAAAUCACCUGAGCUCACCUGCACUGCAGCUCGGAAGAACCUCUCAUCUUUUAUCGCAAGUCUCACACUGCCUACAUCAAUGUGAUUGUGGGGCUUAAAAGAUGUUGAAAUUCAUGAUGUAAUAUUCAGCUCAACAGUUGUUGGCAAGUGAUGCCGGUGUGCAGGUUCACUCAACUCUUCAAGAAUACGUAUAUUGGGUCAUCAUUAACAUGAGAUCCCUGUACCAGUUACUAGAUGCAAGAUGUACGUCAUGUAUUUCAUCCUGGGUGAUCACCUGGGCGUUGCACCCAGCUGAUCCAACCUACCAGUAAAAUUCUCAGACCCUUAACCUUAUCAGCAAUGUUGCAUAAUUUCAUGUCAGCCAUGUCUAUAGAAGAACCAUAUGCAGUGCCAAGAAUAUUUUUCUCAGAGAAUUCAGUAAAGUAUGCACUUUGUGAGAAUAAUGCAGCAUUCAUACGUGGUGCUCCUAGAAAUUGUGAGCAAUUGACUGCCAAAUCAGCCCAUGAAGCUGGAAUAAUAUCAGGGUUCUCUGUAGAAAAGUUGCAAUUCAGACCUGACACAUCAGGAAACCUCACUUAAACCACAAAAUGAUGUUGUAACAAAUUACAGAAUGAAUUAAGGAGUAAUAGAAAAGAUUAAUACUGAAAAGAGGUGAAUAAGACAUUUUCAAGAUGUGCAUUAAGGGCCAUACUUAAAUCAUAUUAGCGUGCCUUUAAAAUCAGAAUUCAUUGUAAAAUACCCAAAAGCAGAAUUUAAUGGAUUACGAUUACCUUGAACCAAAUAUUAAUAUCUUGGCGAAAAUUCACCAAAAUAGGCUCUGAGUGUUCCAGUCUACAUGACUUCCAGAUAGGCUAAACAUGGGAGGAUCAUUUUGUGAAGAAUAAUACUGAUUUUCACCUUCAGAUAAUAUGACAGACUUCAGGCCAGAGUUUAAGAACUUUCUGAACUCCCAGCCCUAGUAUCCGAAACUUUUGAUGAGUUGUAUGAAUACAGAUAUGUAACAGAUCCUGGUCCAUCAAGCUCGUGUGAAGGAGGCAAAUCCAACUUCGGUAAUCCUGAUACCAGUCCCGGAAACAAGCCUUAAAAGGAGAACACAUUAUAGUUCACAAUUCAGCCUCGUGAAAUUUUGCAACAUAAUUAAUCAUAGAAGUGAGCAUAAGAAACCAUAAUCACUGACAUUACUCCAACAAACCACAUAACACUGGAAGCAGACUCACCUUGAAGCACAAUUGUAAGGGAUCGUUUGGUUGGUUGGCAUCGGGAAUGAACCUGUGUAGGUUGUGUUUUUUAUUUUUUUAUUUUUAUAACCUAUAACUUAAAACCACAAGGGUAUGGGUUUUUGAUACUCAAGGGGGAGGGUGUGUUUAAGAAUGUGAUAUCAUUAAUAUUUCGUACUAAUAUAUAACAUAAUACAAAAAAGUAAAAUUUUUACAUGAACAAACACUAAUAAUAAGAAUACAAACCUGAUCUCAAACACAUACCUGAUACCACUCUACUAAUGAUAAUACAUAAUAUUAUAUAACAAAUUAAUUUAACUAUUAACUCAGUAAUAGUUUUGCUCGAAAGAUUCAUUUCAACACUAUACCACACAGAUUAUAUCAAAAAUGGAGUUUCACUCUGGUACCUCCUGACCCGAUAUGUGAUUCAAAAAACAUACCACUUUACAAACCAAACCCCGUUUUGGUAAAUUCUCAUGGAAGAUAAAAAUAUUCAAGCAUCUAAGGAAAGAAUGAUAUAUACAAAAGAUGUGGGCAAAUGAGAAAGAUGUAGAGUAAUGCAGAAAUCAACUCAAAAACUUCUACAACCUAAUCUAAUUUAUUUAAAGAAAGCCCAAACAAAAGUAUGGCACUCCAUGUCUCUAUCUAAUAUGGCAAAAGUAAACCAAAAUCAAAAUUAGGCUAUGCUGUCCGCCAGUGGGCACACUUCUAGUCAAAGUACACUUUCAUUUGCUUUACUUCCAUUAAAUGGUCAUAAUAAUUUGCUUUAAUAAUAAUGAAAAUCUCAUUAAUUAGCUCAAAAUGGAGUAUUUGGGCCAAUUUGAUGUGCAGACGUGCAGUAGAGAAAUCCUUUCACAUCUAACGAGUCCUAACUUUGUAGGACAGAGAACGAAACCUAAAGUUGCACAUUAACAAUACCUAGAAAGAUAGAUAAUAUGUACUUCCUAAUUUUCUAUAAUCCAAAGUAGAUAAACUCUGCUGAAAAAAGAGAAAAUACUAGCUUUAUUUCAGAUUCAGUAUUCGCGCAUCUUCGUUUUAUUUUUCUUAAUUAUUUUUGCUACUUUUGUUAACAAUGUAUAAUAUCUUGGUAGCAUCAAUUUUUCUUUAAUAAACCUUUGCAGUGGAGUGGGAAAAAACACUAAAUCUAUUCAUCAUACUUCCAAUUACAUGCAUUACAUAUUGCAGUUCCAUAACUUCCCACUUACGAAUUUGCAACACAGUUCAUUAGAAGUACUUAACACAAGCUACUCUGUGACAGACUAACUCAUGGGAAAUUACAAAACUAAUCUAAUUUCUGCAUUACGAGGUUGUUGGAGCUGGAAGAUGACCUAGUAAAAUAGCCUAAACAAGAGAAUCUGCUUGUGUCAUAGCUCUAAGCUUCUCUCAAAUCCCAACAGCGUACGUAAGUUAUCUUAAAGUUCCCUCGUAUAUAUGAUCAGUAAUAACUUCUUCACUUCAAGCCAUCCCAACGCAACAACAAUUAUAAAACCUCACUGAUUCUACAACAGCUUCUAUUAGGGACAUUAGUUAGAGAUAUUCAAAGAAGAAGUUUAUAGAAUCAAUUAUUCAUUCGUACGCGUUUUUUUCACUCAAAAUAGACAUGUAAAAGAGGACAGAGGGAAUAAUUCGUAAGACGGUACCUAGGAUGACCCGGGGCAGACAGUGAUCAAUCAAAUCCCGAAGCAUCAUCGUGAUCAUCCGGCGCUUUAAAUUUUAAUAUCAUCAAACCUCUGAUAAAUUAACUAUAAAACCCCAGCAAGUUUGCUAACCCUGAUUAAAACCGAUAAUGUAUAAUGUGGCUCAAAGGGUGCUGACUGCUGAGUAUAAUUUAAUUUAAAUUAUAAAUAAUAUUAAUUAAUUUAUAAAUAAUUUAAUAAACUCCUUAGAUAUAUUUUAUUUAUGAAAUGCCGCCACAACUUUACUCAAAACUUAUCAAUAUUGUUUUAAUUUUUAUAUUAUAUGACAAUUAUGUGGAUUUAGAAUAUCAUCAAACUGACUCUUUAUACUCCCUCCGUCCCAUUUUAGUUGUCACAUUUCUAUUUUUAUUGGUCAAAUUGACUAACUUUUUGACAAAAAAUUAUAAGUCUCUUUCAUUAUUUUAAAAAACUAAAAAUUACAUUUUAAAGUAGAUUAAAAUUUAUUUCCAGUAAUAUAUUUUUUUAUUUUAUAAUAUAUUAAUAAAUUUGAGUCAAACUUUUGAUCAAUUUGACCGGCACAAACUCAAAGGUGACAACUAAAAUGAGACGGAGGAAGUAUCAUUAUAUUGGAUCAGAGAUAAAUAGAUAAGAGUCAACUAAGCUAAAAUUAAAUCCUAACGGUAUCUUAUUGAAUUGAAGAAAAAUUGUUAACAAAUGGUGGUGACAUCUUUAAAAAAGUUUGAGGCCAGAGCUGUUUGGGUUAAUUUAAAAAAGUGAUUUCUUGCUUAAAUUAAAAAAGUAGAGUAGAAGUGAGAAAUAAAUAAGUUAAUAAAGUAUUUGGAAAAGAAGCAGAAGCUAACAUUCUCAGUUUUUUAAAAAUGUUUCUGUUUAUUUACACAAACGGAUUAAAAAAAAAAGUGUGAAAAGGAGAAGCCGGUUCUUCAAAACAAACAGCCCCAUAGUUUCCGGAUGUUGGGUCGUAUAACUAUGCAAAGCCCCAAAAAUGAGAGCCCAUGGCAUGAAUAUUUGGACUAGCCCAUUUACAUGUAUUGCUGUAUUUAGUUAGAUAGUAAAAAGAAAAAACUUGAAAAACUAAAUUUAUUUUAGUAAGUGUAGACCUUAUUUAUUUAUUUUAUUUCUGUUUGAAAAGGUGUAGACAUUAUUAUCAAGUGAAGAUAAAUUCGGAAUUUUACUACAAAAUUCCUCUCUAGAACCUGACUUCCCAUGCUAAUUUUAUUCUUCUUAUCUCCUUUUUCUUGGUAACCUUGUUGUUGAUCUCUUUAGUAAACCUUAAUUGAAUUUAUUUAUUUACUAGUGAAUAAAACCGCGCUUCGCGGCGGCGUUAUGAUUUUUUUAUAUAUUUUGAUACGAAUUAAUAUUAUAAUUGUAUAAAGUUAUUUUGAGUAAUGUUCCUGUUAAACAUAUCAUUGAUAAAAAAAAUAUUAUAAUUAAUAUAAAAAUUUGUUUAAGUGGUCUCCUAUCAAACACAAUACUACUAAAAAAAAUUGUUUGAACCGCACUCACAUCAAAGAUAAUAUUAAUCAAUAAUUAUUAUAAUAAUAAUAAAAUUAAAUAUAACAAUAUAGAUAAAGUUAGUUUGAGCCGCUCUCUUGUCAAACACAAUACUAAUAACAAAAAAUUAUAAUAUAGAUAUUAGUUCGAGUCGCCGUACCCUCAAACACAAUACUAAUAAAAAAUUAUUAUAAUUAUGAUAAAGUUACAGAUUAUAUUUGGAUAAAAAUUAUUUUAAGCCUUGGUACCGUUUUAAUAAAAAAUAAAUUAUAACUUAGAUAAAAAUUGUUUUACCCGCUUUUCCGUCGAAAUGAUACUAAUAGAAGAUUUAUUAUUAUUUAGAUAAAAACUAAUUUGGGCCGCCCUCCCCUCAAACACAAUAAUAAUCAAGAAUCUUUUUUAGAAAUUUUGAUACGAAUUAAUAUUAUAAUUACAUAAAAAUUAUUUUGAGUCAUGUUUCUUUUAAACAUAUCAUUAAUAAAUUUUUUUAUAAUUAAUAUAAAAAUUUGUUUAAUUGCCCUCCUGUCAAACACAAUACUAAUAAAAAAAAAUUGUUUAACCCGCCCUCUCAUCAAAGACAAUAUUAAUCAACAAUUAUUAUAUUAUGAUAAAAUUAAAUAUGAUAAUAUAGAUAAAAAUUAGUUUUAACCACCCUCUUGUCAAACACAAUACUAAUAACAAAAUAUUAUAAUAUAGAUAUUAGUUUGAGUCUCCUACCGUCAAACACAAUACUAAUAAAAAUUAUUAUAAUUAUGAUAAAGUUAAAGAUUAUGAUUGGUAAAAAUUAUUUUAAGUUGUGGUCCCGUUUUAAUAAAGAAAUAUAUUAUAACUUAAAUAAAAAAAAUUAUUUUAGUCGCUUUCCCGUCAAACAUAAUACUAAUAGAAAAUUUAUUAUUAUUUAGGUAAAAAUUAAUUUGGGCCGCCCUCCUCUCAAACAAAAUACUAAUUAAGAAUAAUUUACAUUAUGAUAAAAUUAUAAUUAUAAUUGGAUAAAUAUAUCCAUUUUCAUAGGUUUUAUUUUUUAAUUGUUUUGAAUUAUCUCUCUUUUCUUUUAAGAUUUCUAUUUGUUAACUACUUAGAAUUUCACAAAUUUUGGCUAUUAUAUUUUUAUUCGAAUUCCUAUUUCUUAACUAUUUAGAGUUAUAUUUUUUUUACGAAUACUAUUUCUAGUUAUUUUAUCUAUUUUCUCUUAAAAAAUUAGGAAAAUUAAACGAAGGAGGCGCCUUUCGCAUCCUCCUUUAUAUUCUUUACAAUAAAUUCACCAAAAUAAUAAUAGAAAAAAGACCGAACCUGAUAUGAACGUAUUCUUUUAAUUGUAAAAAGAAAACAUGUUAUAGAACUCAAAACAUGGUUUGAACUUUGAUUAUCAAUGAAAUCACAGCAUCCCCAUGAUUUGAGAUUAAUUAUUGGCAAUAGUGGCCGCAAGCUGUAUGAUCAACUGGACAAAUUUAAGGUGUAACUUAUUUUUCUCUAAAAGGCAUCUUUGAUAACUUUUUGGCCAUCCGGCGAGGGGUUAUAAAAAAUCAUGGGUACUAAUUAUUAUAGCCUCCAACGGCUACAUAUAUAAACAUCAAAGAACAUAUAAACGUAAACACACUAAGCUCCUGACAUAUGCAGAUUCAAAUUCAGUUUAGUAGGAUUCAUGCGGUGUCGAAAUCAGGGAUUUGUAGAAAUUUUGGAAAAGACAGAGUGCGCCAAAACAAUCAAAGAUAAAACUAAAAGAAAAAUUAACCUGGACCUAAAAACAUUUUGCAAUUCUGUUGCAAUUCUGUUAGAUAAUCCAUAGAGCAUGUCAUGCACUCUUCCAAAUGUCAUGCACUCUUUCGAUGAGUUUCUGGAUAAAUCUCUUUCGAUAAGUUUCCUGAUAAAUUUAAGAAAAUUAUAAGAAUAAAUUGAAAAUAAGAAUUGUAUUACCUUAUAAAUCUCAAAUAUAAAUAGUAUUUUUCUUUAGAAUUGUAAAUAAGAAGAAGAAUUGUAUUAUGUUUAGAAUUCAAUAAUAAAAGAAUUGUAUUACUUUUAGAAUUGUUGAACUCAUUUUUUGAAUUAUAACUAUAUUUUCUCUCCGAAAUUUAAGAAUAAUUAGAAGACUGAAUCGAGCAAUUCUAGAGACGUCCGCAUCCUCCUUUAUAUAUAUAUAUUGAUUGAUUGAUUUGUAAUUUGGCAUUCGAAAAAUGUUUGGUAUACCUAAAUAAGAAUUCAAAAUUUUCAUACAUCAAAAAUAAAAUAAAAGUGAUAAUUCCAAAAAAAAAAAACACUCUGGCGUGGACCAGGUUGGAUUCAAUUUUCAAGCUUUUUUAUAUUUGAUAAUUAAAAAACUGUAAUGGUGACUUGAUUAUAUUUAAACAUAAUAUGAAGGACUAGAAAGUAAAAUUUAUUUUCACACAAUGUACUCAAAAAAAUGAAUAAUCUAGCAUUAUCUGUAAUCUACUUGACAAAAAAAUGAUGAAAUAUGUGUUUGGCUGCUUUUAAAAAUAUAGAAUUCCAUGCACCAGUUAAUCCCCUUUAUGGUGAACAGCUUAAUGGUGCUCCCGAACAAGGCCCUACUUGUAACAAAACCGCUAGAGACAUAGACCCAGUGUUGUGAAAAGCGCAAAUCGGUUCUAAGCGGCAGGAGGACCUUCUAGCGCUUAAGCGGUAAAGCGGACGCUUAAGCGGAAUUUUAAGCGGGUCAAUAAGCGGAUUAAUUAAAUAUAAUUAAAUAUUUAAUUAUAAUAUUAAUAUAUUUAAAAAUAAUAUUAUGUUGUGUUAAGAAUACGCAUUUUUAAUAUUUUUGAUAAAAUAUAUUUUUUUAAUUUUAUAAUAUAAUCAUAGUUAUAUUAUUAAAAAAAUAAUAUUUCAAAAUUAUUUUUUUAAAAAAAAUUAGCAAGUCAACAUUAUUUUGACCGCUUAAUUACCGCCUAAUCCGCUUAACGACCGCUUAAUCCGCUUAAUUGUCCGCUUAAUUUUCAAAAACGCUUAAUCCCCCGUUAGUACAAAAUCGAAGCGCUUUAGGGCCGAUUCCGCUUAGGCGGCCGCUUAAUCGGCCGCUUAAUGCGCUUUUUAGAACACUGCAUAGACCAAUAUAUUUAAGGCUCUUGUUGACGAGUAAAUGUAAAAGCAACUAAACCCUGGGGCAUGUGGUGUGUUUUCUGGCCCAUUUUGUGGCCUCAAACAAAGGGUCAGUUUUUGCCGUUUAAGAAUAUGGCUUUUUGCUUAUAAGUUGCUAGGCUUUAAGAAAAGCCCUGUUUGGUUGAGUGCGACUUCUCAAUUACUCAUUGUGAGGCCCUCUGCAGUACAGGUGUUUGUUCUUUAGACCUCAGACAUCCAAACCAGACAAAACUAUUUGCAUGUAAGUUUGUUCGCGAAUAUUAAUACACGAACAUGCAAAGAAAGCUUCCGGUAAUUUUUCCGUCAUCGAUGAGAAUCAAAUUUUAGACAUUAAAGCGAGUGGUGAUUGAGCAGGGGUCAAUGUUUAAUAUUUUUUAAAAUUUUGUGGGAUUACCCGUGUAAGCAACUAAUAUUAAAUUCUUAAUACGAGAUAGAGUUAAAUCUCUUUGAAAUAAUAAUGUUGAAACCAAUAAAAAAUAUUAUUUUAUUAAAUUCAUUAUGUUGUCAAGGAUGAAAUCUAUUAUCAACGUUAUAUUGAAACCAGAAAUAAUAUUAUUUGGAUAAAAUAAUUAUUUUAUUAAUUAUCACUUAAUCAAGUUUCGCAUGUUUAACGAACAUCUAAAUAGACCAGGUGAGGUCUUUAUUAGUUUGCUGCUGAAACCGAAAGAGCAAUAGCUGUGGUCCAAACUUUAAACAUUGAAAGAAGAGAAAGGAGAUUUAACUUUCAAGACUACUACUUAUGGCUUUCAGUCAAUUCUACCAUUUCGAUUUGACCAAUUCCAGAGGAACCCUCGGUCACUCGUAACUAUCACUAAAAUCUCAGUGCGCGCCCUUUAGGACAGCGGCGACGGGUUUCUACGUUAUAAUAAAUAAAUAAAUUAUUAUUUUUGGGGAAAAAAUAUAAACACUGCAUGUCACGUUGUUCGCUUGUUAUUACUUUUUUUUAUUGAGGAGAACCAUAUUCACAAAUUUGUUACUGCAUGCCAAAUUUAUAACUUAUUUCUCAUUAUUAUUUAUUACUGUAAUAUUCACAAAUUUGAUCAGCGGGUUAAUAUAUGCAUAAACAUAGACUAUUUAUUAAUUGUCACUAGAAACCAAUAAACAAUCAAAUAACAGCUCACGUGCGACAGUGCACGCGAGAAAAUGAGUGGUGGGUCGAAUUUGAAGCUGGUGAAAUUAAGGGGCUGAAGGGCCAUAGACAGAAGAUGCUAUCUGGGCCGUUGAAAGGUACAGAUAAGCACUGUGCCCGCACAUGCUUUCUGCCAGCCUGAAAAGCCCGACAACCCGAGUCCGAGGCCUCUUACAUUUGACAGCUCCAGCUCCAUGUUAAUCAAUCCGUGGUCUGUGUGUGAACAUAUUCAAGAUUGGAUUCACCUUGUUCAUGUUUUUACACGGAUCCUCUUUAAAAAUUAUCGGUUAGCUGUUUGUGUAUUGAAUUAAAUGUUUUGAUUAUUGAAUUAAAUAUUUUGAUUAGUUGAUUAAAAUAGAUAUUUUGACUAGCGGUUUAAAUUAUCGGUUUCUUUUAAAAUUGUUUUGUAAAUAACUUUUUGAUUAAUUUUUUAUCAAAACCUCUCCAGAAUCUCCUCAAAGUAGCUUUUUUAAAAUUAGCUUUAUCGGCUAACUACCAAACACUAGCAUAGCGGAUUGAAAUUGUCAAAAUUCUAAAACACCCCAAAUCUCCUGAUCAACCAUAUCACUCGUCUGAUAUCGCUGGUUUCUUCCUUCAAAUCACAUAAAAUACUCUCCAAACAUAAACAUAUCAAGGUUUGUAGAAACAUUAGCGUCAAAGUAAUCUCUAAUGAACACGAACUAGUCGGGCUGCGUCUUUGGGCCCGGUUAAAUUUUGAAAUACAUGGCUAAGACGCUUCAAGGGUCCAUCAAACUACUAGUCUUGCAACAAUUAUGGAUCGAGGGGACACAUUUGUGAUUUGUAUUUGCUUUGUACAUAAUUAUUCAACAUGCAACCACUUAGCUUUAAAUAAAUCCAAAUUUGUGUUCUAUCAUAAACAUGUAGGUAUAUAAAAAUUUAGUACACGUAAUUAUUGAUUUCCAUUUCUAUGCACCAAUUAAUUAUUUAAUUUCUAUUUUCGUUUGAAAAAUUAUUAUAGACUGUAUUCUAUAAAUAUUAUAUGCAUUCGUGAUCAUAGAAUUGAUAGGUGAAACCAACUAAUUAACAUAUUGACGCAGAAUUUAUCAAAAAUAUUCUGAUAUAUAAAGAGAUAAAAUAUUUUCUAAGAAUUAAUCCUCAAAUUUUUACUAAAUCUGAAAUAUUGAAAAUGUAGCUAGCGUUAAGAAAUCAAGAACUUAUCAUUUUUCCAUGUCAAAACACAUGUCACUUAAUUUUGGUGCAUAUUUCUAAAUAAUUUGACCGCAAGGUGGAAAUUUUUGUUUUUAAAAUUAUAUUUUUCAUUUAUAAUAAUUAAUGAUUUUUUUUAUUUCGAAAAGAAAAAUUCAAAAUUCAAACACGGGAGUAUGAACACAUGGAUGGAAAUUACUAAUUCGAAAUCUUCUUUAACUUGGCGACUAACAGCCGGUUGGUGUGCAGUUUUAAAUCAUGACUUAAAAUUAUUUUUGAUUUUAAAUUGUGAAAUGUCACUUCAGUGAUUGAAUUAUAAUUAUAAAUAAGACAGAAACUGAUUUACAAAAAUUAAUUUGAUAUAUAUAUAUUUUUCAGUAAUUUAACAUUUUUUUAUAAAAAUUAUUAAUAAAUCAUAAAUUAUCUCUUGAUCACUUUUAUCUUAUCAUUAUAAUUUAGUAAUUCAUAAAUUAAUAUAAAAUUGUAACUAAUCAAAUACAUAUAUUUAAAAUUCCUAAUUAAUAUAAUUAAAUUAUUUUAAAUUGUAGAUCACAAUUUUAAUCUGGGUGGUAACGUAAAACCAUAAGUCUGUAACUAAAUUUAAACAAAAAAAGCCCAAAGAUGGGCCCAUUCAAAUAAGCUGCAAAGUAGAGCUCAAGAAUGAAGCAGUAGUAUAUAAAAUUAAAACAAAUGGUGACAUCUCUGUGUCUUACUUUCCACAUAGCCUAUCCAAAUCCCCAAGCUACAUCUCUUUCAGUUUUCUCUAAUAUAAUUUGUCCAUAUAUAUGCAACAUUUGUUAGUGUAUGUAUAACUCCUGGAAGACUUUCCCUGAUUGCCCAUGUUUCCAUUCUCAUUUCCCAAUCUACCCACAUUCGUUGCUUUCUUCCCAAACUACCCAACUUUUACCUUUUCCAAAAUAAACAAGACUUGAUAUGGACCCCACCAGAUUAUUAUGCAGCAAAAGGACAAGAAAUCACAUGCACCCCUCAUGUACAUUUUGCAUAUAUAUCACUUAGGUUUCAUGUUUUUUAUUAAAUUGACCCUACAGUUUCUUAAUUAAUCAUUGUCAAUUAUAAUUAAAAUUAAUUGAACAUAUCAACAAAAAAACAAACAUCUAAUAUUAAAUUUAACAAUUCUAAAAUAUUUGAGUUGAUAUAAAGCCAAAGAGUUGAAAUGACAAUUCUGCAUUUAAAUUUGAGUAGACAAUACACUUUAAAUUUGAGUAGACAAAAGCCUGUAAAAUUAAACAUUAUUUUUCAAAAAGCUAGAUAUUGUGCAGUAUAUAUUAUUUUGUAAAUAGUUGAUUUAAGAGCAUGUGGGCCAGGCUUUUUGUUUUUUUCAUGGCUGAAGUUCAAAAGGUGGGUAUUUAGGGAAAAAUUGCAAGUAAGUGGGUAUUGUGGGAAAAAUGAAUGAGAGGUUGGGCAAUCUGGGAAUGGAUUCAUAACUCCUGCAAGGCUGCAAACUAGGCCUCUUAGCAUGUCUUGAAAAUAGCAAAAUCUUUUAUUUUUCUUGUACAUGCUUCUUUUUAACUGUCAUUCUUCUUGUUCUUUGAGUAAAGUUGGAUAGUCAUGGGGGAAGAAGUUCAUGGGGGAUGGUCACCCACCGGAGCUCCGAUGAGUUUACAAAGAGAUGACCACUGGAGGCAUUUUGGUAACUCAGUUAAUGCGGUGUCUUGUGGGUUUGUUGCUACUGCUAUUCUCAUUUUAAUGUUUCUUGUUAUGGCCAUUUUUGAGAGGUUUCUUAGAACCACUUCGCCGGAAAUGUCACCGUCCGGUGACCGGAGUCAUUUGGAUAUGGUUUCCCAAAUGGGGUUUCAUGGAAAGCUCAGUUACCCAUCACCCAAGGUCAGUUUCAAAUUUUACCAUGCAAUUGCUUUGUUAUUUUUGUUUUUGCUCUUUAGAUUUUUAUCUGCCUAAUAAGAAGCCAAUUGAAAUUAAUUACCAUCCACAAACAAUUAUUGACAAUUUUUUUGUUAAAAACCAUAAAUUUAUCGGGUAUUUUUUUUUUAAAAAUGUUUAGUCAUGUAUUUUAACCAUAUAAAACAAUUGUUUAUGCUCAUCAUAGAAGUAGUUCACAGAAUCACAAAGAGUAUUGAAGAUAUGUUAUCUACAAGUUCUGAGUAACUUCCACUUGCUUGUUUGGAGAGAAAAGUACAAAAUUUAUCUGAAUUGGAUGCUAUACAUAUACCCACAAAUAGUGACAAAGGAACCUAAAUUUGGAUUUAGUAAUUAUGAAUUAGUCUGAUACAAUUAUAUAAUUAAACAAUGCCAUUGACUAACUAGUGUGUGAAUAUAGUUUAAGCAUGUGCAUUGUUUCCUAACCUUUAAAUUAAGAGAUAAGCAAAUUUUGUCUUGAUGAAAUGGGCCAUUGGAGAUGUUGCUAGCUGGUUUGUUGGUCCCCAAUUUUUGCCCAUAAAAAACUUGAGGGAGAUCAUGUGUCUACAUGUCUUUCUUGUACAUUUGGUGUUUACUACCCACUCUUGUACAUGUUAACAAGUUGGGCCAUCACUAGAAAUAUUUAUGAAGCUUCACAUCAUCUCAUGGCCAGCAAUUAGUUGGGAGACAAGCCGUCGUCUUUCUUUUGUUAUCAAGUCGUCUAUAUUUUUGUCUUUUAACAAGCAUUAAUGCACUCAAGGUCGAAAUUCAGUUUAGACAGAAAUAUCUGUAUCUGCAAUUGUAUGAGUUGUUUAAAGUUAAUUGAUGGCGAAUACGUAUAGUGUCAUUAGCAGCACUUGCACAGAAAUUCUAGUUUUCAUAGUUCAUACGCGACUAAGAUUACGCAUCUAUUUGCCACUUGCCAGUAUGUGUUUUUUGAAAAUUUAGAAGCCCGCUCCCAAUACUCAACAAUAUAAUAGUCUUUGUAGUGAAUAUUUACAAAAUCAUGCUUAAUUUUCUAAUCAGCUGAUCACUGAAGUAAAAAUCAUAUUCUGUUCACCAAAUGUAAGUUACUAGGACUUGGGGUACAGACUGUUGGACACACAGCAUAUAUCCCAGCCUCUAACUCAAAAUUUUUAAAUAUCCGGGGACAGGCACAUUCCUCUGUUGGACACCGGGAUACGAGAAAAUUCAUUAUAUUAUCCAGUAUAUUUAAUGAAUUUUCACAGCAAAGAUCAACAAUAAAAAUCACAUUAAACACGAUUUCGUUAAGAAACUUUGCAAAUUUUGCUUCUUCUCUUGUUUAUUUGCUCGUUUCUCCUUUUCUUGUCCCAUAUGUUUCCUUGCAAUAAGUUUCACUGCGAAUCUGGUCUUUCACGCGACGACUAACACCAAAGAGUCGAAGAUGCAUAGCUCUAUAUGCUAAGGUCAAAUGUAUACCGGAUGACAAGUAAAAAUGCCCCGUAUAUGUGUAUCAAAUAUUAACUGAUGAUAAACAAAUUAGCUUCCAACAAAGAUUUGUUUGUUUUGUUGUCCCAGUAUCAAAACCUCCCUGCAAGCCUUCUUAGCUAUGCUGUGUAGAUUCAAUGGAUAUCUUUUCCUUUCAUGAAAAAAAUUAUCAAAUUUGGGAGGGUUCUGCAAUACCUAUAGUGCUUCAUAAACACAUUGUGAAAGUGUAUGUUUCAGUGAAGUAUAUGUAUGUCCUAGAACGCAAUCAUAUAGAAGAUAUACCAAAUUUAACUAGUCCGUAGGUGGAAUGCAUUACUCUUUAGCUGGGUCCCUAAUUUGCAUUGUAGGUUGCUUGCCAUAUAUCAUCAUACAUACAUUAUCACAUAUGUUCUUAGAAUUUGUUGAAUAAAUUUCCUAGGCUGUUACAAUAUUCUAGGGAGUAGGCUCGAUGAUAUGGACUGGCUUGCUAAUUGAAUUAGACUUUUUUUAAAUGUAUUCUAUUAUAAAGUUGAAGUAUUUCUUUACUAAAAGCAUUUAAUUAUCCCGCAGACUUGUUAAAAGAUAUGCUAAGGUGUUGUGCUGAUAAGUGUCUUUAUUCAGAUUCCUACAAGGGCGACUGAAGUUUCAGUCUUGAUGCCCGGAGAAGCUAUUCCCACAUUCAUUGCACAGCCUGCUCCUGUCCCUUGUCCCCUGGAACGUGUACCAUGGCCUCCCCAUAAUCAUAUAUAAUUUCAAGGUUUGUACACUAUUCUGGAUCCUGGAAUCAAGUUGACCAGAGCUAUGACUGCGUUGGUGUAGAUUCAUCAGUAAGCAUUUUAGCAUCAAGUUUAGCCUGCAUCUUUGUAAUUUUAUCCUUCAUGUGUACAUAUUUUGAUGAGGAGGUAUGUAAUGGACUUGGAUAGAUAAUUAUUCAUUGGGUUUGCAGGUGCCAUUCAAUACAAAACUGGACUUUUUUUUUGCUCUUCCUAAUUUCUAUACAACUCACCUACCUUUCUUCAAGAAUAUGGGCAAUAUUUGCUUAAGAGAAAUUGCAAGAAACUAGUUAUACGGACUCUUAAGUUGAAAUAUAAGAUGGUCUCUUACCUUAAAAUAUACUAAGAAUUUUGGAAUAGUACUUCUCUAAAUGCCUUCUUGUCUUGGGUGUUACCUCACAAUAUAUGCCCUGAUGAUUUCAUUUUACGUGAAGCAUGUCUGACCUGCUUGCCUGUCUUAAGAACACUCUAUCUUGAUUAUUGGUAUUUCUCAAUAUCAUUUUCUCUUUCAGUGUGCCUCAUUUAACAGCUCUCUGUUUGACUGCGUGUCACGGAUUUCCUCGAAUGGCAUGGAACCUCCCUGCGUUGUUAAGUUUAAAACUGGAUCGUAUAAUUCUUCCCAGGAAUAUGGCUGACAUCCUCUCGAAACUGGUCAAUCUACAAAACCUCACAUUGAUUUCUUUUGCAUCAAUUCACCAUCAUAAUAUCUUCUUAUCUUGUCCCCAAUUGCUAAACCUGAAUAACAGCCCCCGGUCCGGUGAGACUUUUUUUAACGACAAUUGAGUUGCAGGUUUUCUGGUGUGUCUUUUAUGUGGUUGGAAGCUCAUAAGUUGGUAAGUAAGAAUAUAUAUUGGGCCGUUUGGCUGGGCUUAAAAGAAGUGACUUAUUGCUUAAAGUAAAAAAAUAGAUUAAAAGUGAGAAGUUAGUAUGGACUUAUAAGUUAUGAUAAGUGUUUGGAUACCGUGACUUAUAAGUUUUUAAGUGUUUGUAUAACUUGACUUAUAAGUUGGUAUAAUUUCAUAUUUUUGUAACAUAAUUUGUUUUAUUUAAAUAUAAAUGAUGAUAAUAACACAAGACCUUUUGUUAUUAAUACAAGAAAUAUUGUACAGAUUCUAAAUUUUAAAAACUCUGCAUUAAAAGAAAAAAUUAAUAAAAACAGAUAAAACAAGUAUGUAAUGGACUUGGAUAGAUAAUUAUUCAUUGGGUUUGCAGGUGCCAUUCAAUACAAAACUGGACUUUUUUUUUGCUCUUCCUAAUUUCUAUACAACUCACCUACCUUUCUUCAAGAAUAUGGGCAAUAUUUGCUUAAGAGAAAUUGCAAGAAACUAGUUAUACGGACUCUUAAGUUGAAAUAUAAGAUGGUCUCUUACCUUAAAAUAUACUAAGAAUUUUGGAAUAGUACUUCUCUAAAUGCCUUCUUGUCUUGGGUGUUACCUCACAAUAUAUGCCCUGAUGAUUUCAUUUUACGUGAAGCAUGUCUGACCUGCUUGCCUGUCUUAAGAACACUCUAUCUUGAUUAUUGGUAUUUCUCAAUAUCAUUUUCUCUUUCAGUGUGCCUCAUUUAACAGCUCUCUGUUUGACUGCGUGUCACGGAUUUCCUCGAAUGGCAUGGAACCUCCCUGCGUUGUUAAGUUUAAAACUGGAUCGUAUAAUUCUUCCCAGGAAUAUGGCUGACAUCCUCUCGAAACUGGUCAAUCUACAAAACCUCACAUUGAUUUCUUUUGCAUCAAUUCACCAUCAUAAUAUCUUCUUAUCUUGUCCCCAAUUGCUAAACCUGAAUAACAGCCCCCGGUCCGGUGAGACUUUUUUUAACGACAAUUGAGUUGCAGGUUUUCUGGUGUGUCUUUUAUGUGGUUGGAAGCUCAUAAGUUGGUAAGUAAGAAUAUAUAUUGGGCCGUUUGGCUGGGCUUAAAAGAAGUGACUUAUUGCUUAAAGUAAAAAAAUAGAUUAAAAGUGAGAAGUUAGUAUGGACUUAUAAGUUAUGAUAAGUGUUUGGAUACCGUGACUUAUAAGUUUUUAAGUGUUUGUAUAACUUGACUUAUAAGUUGGUAUAAUUUCAUAUUUUUGUAACAUAAUUUGUUUUAUUUAAAUAUAAAUGAUGAUAAUAACACAAGACCUUUUGUUAUUAAUACAAGAAAUAUUGUACAGAUUCUAAAUUUUAAAAACUCUGCAUUAAAAGAAAAAAUUAAUAAAAACAGAUAAAACAAAUAAAAAGACAUAUCAUUUAUUUAAUACUAGUUAUGAAUAAAUCAAUAAAAAUGCAGGACAUAUAUUGUCAUGAAUAAAGGUAGCUGAGUGAUAAUUAUACAAAGUUGAACCACAGUGACUUGACUUGGUUUCCUGUUGUAAAAUAAGUUGCAGUCCAAAAAAAGCUAGCUUCUAUAGCUUUUUUUUUUUUGAACUUCUGAAUGUUGAAUUGAGCGCUUCUAAAACGUAGCCAAACAGACAGUAUUAAGCAAAAGUGAACUUCCAGAGCUUUUAAGCCCAUAAGCUGUUCCACCAAACACCCACAAAGUUAAGUCGUUGGUUUGGAAAAACGGAUUGGAUUGCGAUGAUUACAUAAUUACAGUGUUGCUGAGAUCACAAGAACUACCGCGAAGCAUGUUAGCUCGUCUGACAAGUUUUUUUUUACUCAAAGCCGACCCAGUGGUUAAAUUAAGGAUUUCGAUCUUGUUAAUUGUUAGAAUAUAAAAUAAUCCUGAUAAGCAGUGCUUCCAUUAACUUGAGGUUUCGGAAAAAUUGGUUACUCAAUAUAUUACGACUCGGAUUGGGCGGAAAAUAGAAGUGUAUGUGGUAUACUACUUUACCUCUUUUCAUUUUUCCUCUAACAAGCUGUUAGCUUAGAAAAUAAGGGAAAAAACAUUUGGGUAAAACAAUAAAUUUACUCGUGAGUUUAAACUUUUGGCUGGAAAGCAAUCAGACGUGAACCCCUCCCCUGGUCAGGAUCUUGGAAUUCACUACUUCCCAAAUCAUGAAAGCUAGCUGGUCCUUGUUUUACAUAAAUGUGAUCCAAGAAUAUUCAAUUUUUCCUUCAUUCAUGUUUCAACAACCAUUCAAUCUUUCCCCUGCUCCUCAACUCAUUUUAUUCGUACCAUUACUCCAUCACCAUUUCAUGCAACAAUAACAAAUUUUAUCCUCAACCCGAAUCAAAACUUCUUCCCUCUGUUAACCUCUUUUUCAUGCCUCCUACCCGUCGUCGUAGUUCGACAUUCACAAGGUCGGAAAAAGGUCUAAUAUAGCGAGAUUACAAGUCGGAAUAAUUUAAUUGCUGUAAAAUUCAGAUAAUAAUCGUUGAUGCAACCCCUGGAAACAAAUUAGUCACCAAUAUGCUGGAUUUGAACAUGGUCCAGUAGUGUACUGCUGGUCUACUGCACUUUCAAACACCAAUAAUACAACAGGUAUCGUUGCACUCAUUUAUUAUCUUCGUUCAACCUAGUCUAUCAUUGUUUUCCUUCACUUUUAACCCUUUUUCCUUCUUUUUCUCUUAAAUCCUCCCUCCACUUUCACUUUAGUUUUACCACUUUUACUUGUAAUUUAUCCUUCUACUAAAAGACAACGGUAUCUCCACAAAUACUUUAGAUUUCUCAAAUUGAAUCUUCCACUUUUUACUUGGGGACUUCACAGUCUUCAAUUAAAUCUUAUCGUCAAAUUACAUUUUACGAGAAGAUGUAAAUCAAUUCAAGAAAUAAAAUUUACUCUAUCAAUCUGUUGAAUUAUUAUUUUUGUUUUUAUUUAAUUAUAUAUUUUAAUUCAAUUUCUUUAGAAUAAUAUUUUUUUAACUAUUUGAUCAAAAAACGUACAAAUAUAUAUCAAAAAUCGAACAAAAUGUAUUUCAAAUUUAGGAAAUACUACAUUUUCGUGUUGGCAAAAUGUUAACUCUUCAUUUUUCUUCCAAAUUAUUGUUAUGUGAGAAGUUUGGCUCGAGUUCAAUUUAAUAUUGGAUAUAUGAAACAAAUCCCGGAAAAAAGAGAGUAAAAAUGAAGAUAACCUUUUGCAGACAGAUCUGUCCUCUACCUGCAAUAUUGAUUUACUUGCUACAUAGUACAAGGAUAAUCUUCUUGGUCUAAAAGGCCAAACCAUAUCCUCUCUAACAUACUUACCAUAUCACUUUUUUACUUACAAUAACAUGACAGACAACAGUGGGACUUCGGGGUGACAAUUUGUGUCAAGUUACCAUUCUACCCCUUUGUUUCUACAGAAAAAUGAAACAUUCCAAGGACACGAGUGGGUUUUCGAUCAACUCAUUGCUUGUCGGUGGCCACUUGCCUUCUUUAUUACUUCCCUCCCUUUUUCUUGAAUUCUCGGAUAAGUCGGAUCUGACCCGACCCGGUGACUUUCCUGUUCUUCUCACAGAUGGGCUCCGACCCAGAUUCUGUUUUGACCCGGCAUUGUCGUUUCGGAUGACGGGCGACCUUGACCUCCGGCGAGAGCUUUCUCCGGCGUCUCUAACGGGCCUCAUUUCCUUCACAUGACUCUGUUCGACCCGUUUGUCUCUUCCGGGUACGAUCCGAACCCGAUUCGGAGACGGUUGCUCGGGCCUCCUCGCCGGAGAUUUCGCCACUCCCCUCUCUCUCCUCCCGUGUAAUUCACCGGAAUACGACCGACGCUUGAACUUCUCAGGCGACUCAACUUUCCGGCGAAUUUCACCGAUUUCUUCAUUUUCUCUAGAGAAGCUCUCACUCAUAGAACUAUAAAUCUCUGAAAUUUCAGAAACCUCUUCUGGGUUUUCAAGCUUAUGAAUCUUUUUGAAAUGGGUCUCGUUUAUUCCCUCAAAAUCUUGAUCAUUUUGAUGUAAAGAUUGAGUCUUUUUUGGAGGCUUCAAGAUUCUUGGAGUUGAGGGUCUUAGCUUUGGAGUCUCGGAGAGGACUUCUUUGACUGAUUCUUCUAGUAAGUGUGGUGGUGGUGAUCUUGGCAAUGGUGCUUGGUUCGAUGGUAAGUUUGAUCUGUGUUUGCUUACAAAACAACCCAUUGAGUGAAUAUGUUUGUGUUGAUUUGUUUAUCAGGAGACCAAGGGGAGCUUUGUCAUGGUGAUGUGUUGGAAGUUGUGAUUGGGGGAUUCUAGGCCGAAGAGGAUGUCUUAAUAUUGGGAGUGAACAUGUGAGCUCAUGCUGAUAUAUAGAGCAGUGUAUAAAUUACUCUCUCUCCCGCUUCAUUCUUCACUGUUGUUUGUUGCAAGAAUAACACAUUUUAAUAUUUUUAUAAAUUUUUGUAUAUUAUUGCAAAUACUUUUAUGAAUUAAAAUUAAACGUAUAAAUUUUUGUUUGAAAAUAAAUAAUUAUAAUUUAUAUUUUACAUAUUUUUGAAAUAUUUGUCCAAUGAUAAUUAUUUUAUAAAUAAUGGGACAGGGUCAAAUAAUAAAAAAUAAUAUUAAAAACGUUACUACAGUGUAAAAAUGAAAUUUUCUCUUACAGUUGCAUGACACUGAAUUAUUGAUCCAUGAAUGAAAAAAAUAAUAUAAAUAACAAGUAUAUGAUCUACAGAGUACUCGUACAAGUCUACAACGGAAGAGGGUGCCCACCCUAAAAUAUGGGCCUGUUUGGGAAUGAGAUGCAGAAGCUGCUUCUAGCUUCUGCUUCUUUUGACCCGUUUGUGUAAAAAAGUAGAAGCACUUUUAAGAAGCUGAGAAUGCUAACUUCUCUCUUACAGCUUUUGCUUCUUUUCCAAACACUUUAUUAACUUAUUUACUUCUCACUUCUACUCCACUUCUUUAAUAUAAGCAAGAAGUCACUUUUUUUAAGCUAACCCAAACGGCCCCUAUAUGGCAAGAUUGGAAAAUAUUGAAAGAUUGUGUCUGCUCUGGAAAAAAAAAAAUAAAGAGGAGAUCUGACAUACGCCAACUCAACUCACUAACCCUACCAUGACGGAUUUCAGACCAAAUUUCUAAAUCAAUAUUAAUAGCUUGGAACCCACCUUAAAAUGGCUGAACCUGUUAUACAAUCUGUGCAAAAAUCAAAGAGUGUUUGUGUGUGCAAAGCGUAGGAGACAGAAUCGAAACGAAAGAUAUAUGUAAGAGAAUCCGAGUCCAGUGCGCAACUGUCUCCUUAAAGCGUAUUUCGCCCUCACCGUAUGUGAUGAACGAUCGCCUCCCAGGAUAAAACGGAUUAACGAUGCGAGAAGCACCUUCGACGAACUAGAACAAGGUUGAAAACUAUCAACGCGGCUAGGGUUUUGGACGUGAGAGGCUGUGUAUUUUUUCGUGAGUGCAAACCCUAAACUAUAAUGAAUAUAUAUAGGCAAUGCAAGACUUGUGCGCUACGCUUUGUAAUUAAUUAAAACGCGUUAAUUAAAUUACACGGUUAUAAAUUAAAUCCGAAAUCAAAUUGAAUUAAUUUAAAACCAAACAAUUAAUCCGAAAUCAAAUCGGAAUUAAUUUCUGUCAAUUUAAUUGAGCCCAAGCCCAGUGGAAAAUUAAAUUCAGCAGAACUAGUCCGUAAUUCUUCGGGCCCAGAUUUUGCUGCAUUCGUGUCCGCACACGCGGAAAAGCCCGAGGCUUGCGAAGCCACGAAAUUUCCCUCGAAAUCCCACGAUUUGCACCCCCCCCUGCGCGCACGUAGGUGGUGGAGCAUAACACUAGUAACACAUUUGGACACUACCAAAGUGUUUUGCUAUAUAAAGCCUUUAAAGGCUCUUUAUUGAAUCUAUGUGGGAUUCAAGCUUUUUAUUCCAAUUUUUCCACUACCAAGGAAACAACUUUGGAUCAUCAUAACUCAUCCAUUCCUUAGUCGUUUUGAGUGAAUAAACAUGCAUUGGAAAGCUCUCUCAGAGGAGAACAUAAUCCAAGCAUAACCUGCCACGAGCACGUAGCCGAGCCUCACUCAAAUUGGUGCUCAAAAUGACAAAUUUCCAACAGAACCCACUGCAAUCUGCAUGGUUAUAUUAAUACAAUAUAUAGAAACAAACAGUACGUACAAAUGUACAAUGUGCACAUACCAUUUGGUGCAGGUGAUUAGUAGUACUACUACUAUUUAAACAAAAUAAUCUAACAACUGCUUGUGUAUUUGUCUGUGUAUGGACUAUGGACAUGAGGUGAUAUACCCACCCAAUAGUUUACAUUAGGUUUAGUCAUGAAAAGUUAGGAAAUAUGUAUAAAAUAAUGAAAAAUAAGAAGAAAAGUGGAUGAAGUGAUGGGACCGGUUAAUUUUUGAGUAAAAAUAGUGUGAAAAGAGAGGAAAAGUGAGAAAAUGAUGAGACUCAUUAACUAUUUUAAGUAAGUUUUGUAAUGUAAAGAAAUGAGUGGAACGUCGAAAAAAAAAACGGUAAAAAAUCUGAUGGGGCGGAUAGAGUAAUAGGUUAGAUUUACGGGGGUGUAUUCGAUUGGGAUUUUAAUGGAUUGUUUUUAGUCUAUGAAUUUUAAUGGAUUGUAUGGGAUUUUGAUUUUAUGCGGAUUAUUGAUAAAAUGUCACAGAGUUGAUAGGAUUUAGGUACAAUGCUUCAAAAUCCCAUUGAUUUUGAUGGGAUUUCAAAAAACUUAAAAUACACCGAAGAAUGUCACAAAAUCCAUCAUUUUAUGAAAUGAAAAAAAAUCCAUCAGCAUUUGAAUACAUCAGAUUUUAAUGGAUUUUAAACAAUCUCAAUUGAAUACCAUCGGAUUUUAAAGCAUAAUUUAAAAUCCCAAUUGAAUACCACCAGAUUCUGUAGCAUAAUUUAAAAUCCCAAUUGAAUACCACCAGAUUCUGUAGCAUAAUUUAAAAUCUCAAUUGAAUACCUCAAGAUUUUAAUGGAUUUCAAACAAUCCCAAUCGAAUACCCUCGGAUUUCAUGAAUGCAAAAAAAUGCUUUGAAAUCCCAAUCCAAUACACCCCUCUUAAGGUGGAAAAUGAGUGCAACAAGUCAUGUCAGAUUUAGAUGCAAAGGCAGUGAGGAGAAGUGUUUAGAGUGGCAGUGUAGUUUUCAGCGCUGCUGGUGCCGGGCGUAUUGAAUGAAGUUUUCAGCGCUGCUGGUGCCGGGCGUAUUGAAUGAAUGAAGACUGGGUAGGUUCGGUUGGUAUGUGAUCUCAGGUUCAGGUUCAUAUCAUUAUAUAGUCAAGACGAAGCACUCUAAAUUACCUGUUUAUAACAACUCGAUCCGAUAUGUAUUAACUAAAAUUUUAAAUAUAAUAUAAAAAAUUAUGUCUUAAUUAUUUAAGACUUAUUUAACUAUAAUCUGAAACAAAAUCAGAUUCUGAAACUUGCUUCUAAUAUACCUAAAACUAAAAAAAGUUGUUCUAAUUUCUGAUAUUUUUUAUCCAAAAAUUCUAUAAAAUUAGAAUAAUAGUACAGAAUGAUAUCACGAUAUGAGAAACGCCACAUACACGCCCCUUAUUCUCCUUUAUAUAAGUAUAUUGAUUGAUGAUUGAUUAUGAAAUUUCUUGGACUAAUAAUACCCUCUCCGUCUUCUUUCUUGAUAUAUAAUUUGUUAAAAAAAAUUAUACCUAAAUUAAUACUUUUCUUUUUGGUUCUUAAAACAAUUUUUCUCAAGAUAUAUUAGGGCUUUCCUAAUAUUGUCUCAAACACACAAUUUACUCGAUACAAUUAAUUAAAACAACUAUGAUGAAUCAUUAUAAAAAUAAAUUAUUUAACUAACUUUUCAUAAAACAUGUAAAAUUAAAAAAAAAAUCUAAUAGAAGACCACAGGAGCAAAAUAUAAAUACUCUAAAAUUUUUGGAGGAGUAAAAUUAUAAAUUAUAAAAUUACUAUAUCAUACAGCUGAAUCAUAGUAAACUCAAAAGUAAUGCAUUUUGGCUUUGAUGAGACAAAGGGUCAUGAAAAUGGUGUAAACUAAAUUCAUUGGCUGACAGAUCAUGUAAUAUUACAAUACAUGUUCUUACAUUUUUGACCAAGUGAACAUGGGCAUACAUAAAACCAAAUCAAAUUGACCACAUCUGCCAUGCUGCACCCUAAACAAGAGCCAAAGUAAUCCAACUUCACAGGCGAACCUAACUAAAAUAUCUGCGCAAUAGUAAUUUAUAACAAAUUAUAUAGUGUCAAAUAAAACAGAAAUGGGGGAAUAAACCACAUAAUAAUUGGUUCGUCUGAGUAGCAAACCGUCCAGAUCUAAUAAUAAAUUGGUUUGGAUCUUACAUUGGAUUCUGUACAAUUCUCGUCUAGUCUUUGUUUUUGUGUGUGUUCUAUGUUUGGUUCCUCUACAAUAAAGGGGGAGGAGUAAUAAGAAGUAAUAAUAAGUAAUCUAAUAGUCCAACCAGAUAGUUUGGCAUGUCGAGAGCGAUUUGACAUGUCAUGCAUAUGCAAUUUUUCUAAAUGUUUAGACUUUUUUUUUUUUGUCUUAAAAUGUUUAGACUUUUAAACGGGUCUAAUAUUUUAUUGGAGAGUCAGAAUCCGGGGUAUCAGAUGACGUUCAAGUUAUUUUCAUUUUUAUUUCUCAAGUGUGAAAACUAUAUGUUGGGUGCCUAGCUAUCUCCUUUGAGAUAUCUAUUACAUAUAUUUAUAAAAUUUAUUGGAAAUAUAAAAAUAAUGUUCUUGAUUAAUCAGCUCACUUUUUUGUAAGAAGAAUGUUAUGUAGGUUUUUGAGUCGGGGUUCUACGUGAAAAUAACCUAUAUAAAAUACUUUUUAAGUUGGAAAUCGGUUCUUCUUAUACCUCAUCUUCUCUUUUGUGCAACAUUCAAUUUUAAUAACUUUAUUUAAGUCUUUAACACGACACAAAAUUGUUCUACCACCUUUCAAAGACGCUUAGAAGCCCUUUUUGAUCGCAAUUUUGGUCCUGCGCGGUAUAUAUUGGGUAUCAGUCCAGGAAGUUUUUAUCUUUUUGGGCCAAUCGGCCCAAGUCCAACACUAGAUUGAUGGGAUGUCAUGUAAAUUGUCAAUUUCUGACAUUUUCAAAAUUCGAAAAAAUGAAUACAUUCGGGCUGAAGCCUGAAGGCAUGUACUCCCUCUGUCCCAUUUUAACCGCUUUUGACUUUUUUACACGUAUUUUAAGGUGUUAAAAAAAUCACAUCUAAACAUAAUUAUUGUUUAUAAAAUUUAUAUCAAAUAAAAGUUUAGAAUCUAAAUUUUUAUUUGAUAUAAGAAUUAAAUCUUUUUAUUGAGCGUAUAUACUAUUUUUUUACACCUCAAUAUACGUGUCAAAAAGUCAAACAUCAGUUAAAAUGGGACAGAGGGAGUAUUAUCUUAGUAUAUUUAUUUGAAAAUAUCAACAACUUUAAAUGCAAUAGUUAGAGUUUAUUUUGGUCAAAGGUGUCAUAAGUAUUAUUUAAAAAAGAUAAAAUUAUAUAUUAAUAUUUUUGAUGACCGACAACAUCAACCCUCCAAGUUUAGCAACUUCAGUAGAGAUACUUGGAAAUUACAUGCCCUAUUGCCCUGUAAGAUUAUUUAAUAUUAAUCUGCUGAUCUAAAAAUAUAAAUUCAAGUUAAAUAACUAGGAUAUAAAAUUUAUUAUUAUUUAGUUCCGCAAAAAUAAAAUAAUUUCACUCAUAAUUAGUUCACCCUCCUUUCUUGGUCCUUGCAUGUCAUACGUGCAGUUUCCCGCACCACAGACUGAGUCUGUAUCUAAAAUAUAUAUAUAGUUAAGUUCUAUUGGAGCACAAAUCAUAAUUUUUUAGUUUGAUCUUAUAUAAUAUCUGUGAUUAUCCAAAUUUUGAUAUAAUCUAUCAUUUAUAAGUUGUCUUGUACAAAUGGUUGGGACACGGAGACCAAGAAAGUGUGUAAAAAAAAGGAUAAAGUUAGAUGAAAAGUGGGUAUAGUGGUGGGACCCAUUUAUAUUUAAUACUCCCUCCGUCCCACAAUACAUGUCACUUUGACUUUUUGCACGUAAUUUGAUGUGCAAAUAAAACAUACUUCUAUAUAUUAUUUUUUAAAUUUUCUUUUUCUGAAUAAAAGUAUAACAUCCAUAUUUUUAUUCAGAAAAAGAAAAUUUGAAAAAUAAUAUAUAGACAUAUGUUUUAUUUGCACCUCAAAUUACGUGAAAAAAGUCAAAGUGACAUGUAUUUUGGGACGGAGGGAGUAAUAAAUUUGAGAUAAUGGAGGAAAAUAGUGGGUGUAAUAGUGUUUAUAUUAUUAUAGAAUGAAGAUAGUGGAAGAAUGUAGUUGGUGUAAUGAUAUUUUAUAUUAUAAAAUUUUACUUUUUUUAGAAUGUAUAUAAUUGAUGAGACGUCCCAAAAGUAUACAAUUCAUUGGGACGGAGGGAGUAGUAGAGAAGGGAUUCAGCCAAGUCACCAGGUUAUGUACGCGUGAAAUUUUACCUGAAAUCCGCGCCAUGCAGCCUGAAUUGAGUGAAUCCUAAUAGCAUCUCCAACGGUGCUACUAAAUCAUUUUUUAAACAAUAAUAUAAAACGUGAGAACUCCAAUGCUACUCUUUAUAAAUGAGAGGAAAAAGUUAACUAAAAGAGAGAGAGGAUUGAAGAGAAAUUAAUAUAAUAUUGAGUUAAGAGCUACUAGAUGCUCUUUAAAAGAAAGGAGAGAGAGUAGGCUCCUAAAUUUUUAAGAGCACUAAAUUUUGAUUUGCUCCUAAAAUUUAGACUUAGGAGCUUGAAAUGCCAAAACCCUGAUGAAUAAAUAAAAAUAUUAUGUUUUACAUUUAUAUUUAUCUAUAGUACUAUAAUAUACUUUGUGUAUAUAAGUUUACAAACAUAUAUUAGUAAAUAAAUAUUUAUAUGAAAUUUAAUAAAAAUAACUAUAUUUAUAUGAAUAAAUAUAUAUCUAUCAAAUAUAUGGUAUUUGGAUAUAAAUUUAUAUAUAUAUUUUAUGUUGCUGGGUAUUCAAAAGUAAAAACCAAUCCAAUAUUAUAAUUAUUAGUAUCCUUUAGUGUUCAUUACUUUGUUGUUCGUACAGCGAAAAGUAAAUAUUACUAGUAAUACGUUGUGUCGUUAGUUGUUUUUAAUUGUGUAAAGAAUUUAGGUUGUUUUGAGAAUUAAGAGUUAACUGUUAACGGAUUGAAUUAUAUAUAUUUUUUUUGUCAGAGUCUAUAUAGGGAUAAGAUCAAAUAAUUUUUUUUUAAGUUACAAACUUACAAACUUUUUUUUAUUCUCCCGUAAUGUUAAUACUUAAUUAUAGAAAGUAUUCAUGUUGAAAAUUCUUGAAAAAACAUCACAAUUUUUAAAAAUAACGCAUAAAUAAAUCGCGCAUUCAACACAUUUAUAACUGGGGUUCAACAUCGGGUGUUAAACACUAAUUAUCAUUAUGUUGAAUAUAUCUAUAAUGAUACUUAAACUAUAUCUGUGGGGUUUAGGUAGGGUAUGGAAACAUAAAUAUUAGUUAUAUAAUAUGUUUAACUUAGUUCUUAUAUUGAAAAAUUAGUAUAUGUACUUCUCCAACACGAUUUUAAUCGAUAUUCAACAAAAUAUGUUAAAAAAUAUGUUGAACUCAAAUUAUAUAUAUGUUGAACGCAUAAAAUUUGUAAGUUUGUAAGUUUGUACCAGAACUCACCCCUAUAUUCUGAGUUGUAUCAUAGAUAAGCUGCAACACAGAUUUCUUUCUACCAUCAAAGUUUAUCAUCUAACCGAAAGAUACGCAAUAUAUUUCCGGACGUUUGGAUAAUAAGACUUUAAAGUCUGAAUAAGAAACCUUAUGAAGUCUCUUUGCAUGAGCCUAAAAAUCAAAAGAAACAAAAAGAAGAAAAUAAGAAUGAUAAUUUAAGUAAAAAAAGUAUAUAUUAUGUGAAAAUUUUAAAUUCUAUAAUGACAUAUAUGUUUUUAAAAAAAACAUAAUAUAUUAUUUAACCAUAAGAAUAUUAAGAACUUAUAAAUAAUAUUAGACAAUGAUGUAAAAUUAUAACGGAUUUUAUUAUAUGUUUUGAUUAGCUUAUAGUAGAUGUUUUGAUUAGCGGAAUAAAUUAGCCGUUUUUGUUGUAAAACUGUUUGAUAAAUAGCUGAUUGAUCAGCGUUUUCUAACACAAACCAAAACCUCUAACUUAAAAAACUCUUUAAAUAACUUUUUCAACAUUAACUUUUUAAAUUCAAAUAUCUACUCUAAUUCACUAACUACUAAACACAAAUAUUAACUUAUUUUAAUGCUAAAAUUUAUAAAACAUCUCAAAUUUUUAAUUUUGUCUAAGAUCUCUAAUUUUCAAACAAGACCUUAGACAUAUUGAAGUGCUAACUUGUUGUGUGCCUAGUGGCCCAGUCUAGUGACAAAUCAAAUGCAUGCUAUAAACCGGGACUAAUCAGUAGGAGAAAUCUAUUACGACAAGAGAAAUCUAUUACUCCCUCCGUCCCAACCAAUUCUUUACGUUUGGUUUGGGCACGGAGGUUAAGAAAUAUGUAUAAAGUAGUGGAAAAGAGAAAGAUUAGUGGGUGAAGUGGCGGGACCCAUCAAUUUUUAAUGUAUAAAAGAGAGAUAGUGGAGUAAAAGUAGUGUGAAAAGGGAGUAAAAGUAGUGUGAAAAGGAAGGAAAAGUUGGGAAGUGAUGGGACCCAUUUACUAUUUUUAGUAAGUUUUGAAAUGUAAAGAAUUGGAUGGGACAUCCCAAAAAAAAACUGUAAAGAAUCUGGUGGUGGGACAGAGAGUACGACAAAAUUCAGUUUCACCGGAUCCUCAUAAACGUUAAAUAAAUCCAGACGGAAUAAAAGUUCCGACUUAAGUUCUUGUUUAUACGUUUGUUAAACGUGCAAACAAAUGAAGAGAGCAACUCCAACAAAAUAUUUAUUGAUUGGACGUGCAUAUAAAUUAUUAGAAUGAUUGUAUUAAAGAUAUUGACAUUAUGUGAUAUGAUGUGAUAUUUUGUUAAUAUUUUAUUAGAUAUUGUUAGAAAUUAAUUAUCAAACUCAUCAUUAAAUUAUAAUAACAAACAUGUUACUCCCUCCGUCCCCAAAUACUUUUCUCAUUUGUACUUUUCACGUUUGCCAACACACACUUUUAAUCAAUAAUAUCUUUAGUUUUGUAUUAGUAUUAAAUAAAAAAAAUUCACUGUAUUAAAGUACUCAUAAAUACGAAUCCAACAAGAUCACUCAUGACUAUAUUUUAUCUUAUAGAUUAGACGUAAAUUAGUAAUUUGUCUCAUGUUAUGAACAGUGCCGACAUUUCAAACGAGAAACGUUUUUAGAGACGGAGGGAGUAUCCUUCUCCGUGGAAUGUCAGGUAACAUACUAAAAUAAAUUAGUAAUAUCAAUUAAGUUUGUUAUUAUUAAAUUUAUACUAUUAUUUGACAAAAAACCUAAGAUACGAGGUGGUGAUGAGUUAGAUAUUGAACUAUUAAAUAUAAAAAAAAAUUUGUCAGUGAAAAUUAAAAUAGUUUGACAAAAGAAAAUCAUUUAAACAUAGUUUGUAUGUUAAACAAUAUCAAUUAUUUUUCAUGUAUGAAUUUUUUUUAUAUUUACUUGUGUAAAUCUAAUUCAUCAUCAUGUUUACAAGUCAUAUCAGCAUAUGUGAUGUAUUUUGUGUUAAAUAUUUGGAUGAAUUCAACCUCAAUGGCCAAGUUUCUUCAAAAAAAAACAAUGUUGAUGACCAAGUAAUUCAUUUUAGUUUAGAUAAAUAGGAACACUACAAGAAAUUUGACAUUUACCUACCAUUUUUAAGUGUAGGUAAAGAUGAUACAUGUGUAGAUAAAAAGUUUUACCUACCAAUAUUAUAUUGGUAACGAUUGGUAAGUAAAAGUUCGUGGAGAAAGAGUCUUUACUUACAAAUACAUAUAUUAGUAGGUAAAUUUGGGUGGACCCCGUUUUAUGAAAUGAAAAUGGUUGAGUCAUCAGCUGACAUGUCAUCGGUCUACAUGGCAAUGAUGGUCCACUUGGCAUCCAUACGGCAUCUUUUAAUUGGUCCACAUGGCACCUAGUUAUUAGUCCACGUGGCACCUUUUGAUUGGUCUAGAUACACUUAGUGAUUGAUCCACGUGGCACUCUUAAUUUAGUCCAAAUAAUUAUUCAAAACUGUUGCUCUUGGCCAUCUAAAGUUUGCCACAGCAUUAUACAAUUUAUUUAUUUAUUUAUAUAUAAAAAUAUCAAACAAAUAAAUUAUAAACUGAUUUUAUUAAUUGUUUUGAAUGAGAGAUCAUCUCAUACAAAAACUGUCUUAUCAAAGAAUUAUAAAAAUAAAUAACUAAAUCGUCA